AAGCAAUGAAUAGUAUCUCUGUCUAAUAUCUGGUUCACCUAGGGUAUGCCUAUGUUGUUCAUCUUGGGUGGGAAACAAAUAGUAAAGCAAUCAUCAUCUGUCUUUUUAUUAAAUUAAAGCAAUCAUCAGCCUGCUAUCAUUAUUUUUGGAUCCAUCCACUGGUUGUUACCAUCACUCUAAAGUUCUGCAUGCUCUCCUUACAUAAUCUCACCAUAUUUUUUCGUAUGCAUGUCAGAUAUUGUACACAGUCAUGCUGAACAUGUAGAGAAAAAGAGAAGAGUUUUGCGCGGCAAUACAAUGUUAUGCAGACAUCGCUCCAUGGUGGGUUCAAAGGCAAACCCUCCCCACCCCUCUCCAGAUUGUAAUCUAGAGGAAGAUAUCUGUUCUGAGGCGGAUUCAGACGCUGCUGACCACUCCUAUUUACCCCCCAAGGUGUUUGCUCUACCUUGGCAUGAUGAUGUUAGUCAUAUCAUGCAUAUGUUGCCUUGCAGUGCCUACUUUUGACAUCAUAUAUGUCAUCUGCUUAGUUUAGACAUGUUCUGUAAUGCCACCUGUUUAGUUUCUAUAUCAUAUAUGGGAAUUAUGCAGUCUCAUGUCUUUUAGCCAGCCAUAAUAUACGUGAAAUGUGCAAUGCCAUCCUGUUUAACCAGGCAUCAUAUAUUUGAAUGAUAUCUUGCCCAUCCUUUUCUUCAUUACAUUUCCAUUUGUCGACAAUGUUUGUACAUUAAACUACUCUUCCUGUGAAUCAGCCAUUUGGGUGGGAGAUUGGAAAAUCUGGAGUGAAAACAAGGCCUUCAGAGCAGACAGUGCUACCUGUCGAAGCAGAUCUCUUGUUGGGUCCCGUUAGCUCCUCAGAGAUGGAUUCAGAGAUAGAUGACCAGUCCUAUUCCCCCACCGAGGUGUAUGCUCUAACUUGUCACGGUUAUACUGCUCAUAUCAUGCAUAUGGUGUCUUGCAUUGCAUAGUUUAGACAUCAUAUACACAAUAUUCAACACCAUGUUCUUAGUUCAGACAUCAUAUCUAAUGCCCUCUGUUUAGCAUAUAAAUCACAUAUGUGAAUUAAAUGAUGCGAUCCUGAUUACUUAGAUAACAUGUAGGUGAAUUAUGUCAUGCGAUCCUGUUUAGUUAUUCAUCAUAUCUUUGAAUUAUGUUAUGCUAUGCUAUCCAGUUUAGAUAGACAUCAUAUAUGUGAAAUUAUGUCAUGCUAUCUGUUUUAGUUAAACAAUAUACAAGUCAACUAUUUCAUGCCCUCUUUUUUCCAACUAUCUAUUGCAUCUGUCUCUCAUACAAUGUCUGUACAUUCAACUAUGUUUCCGGUUUAUCAGCCAUUUGAAUUGGAGCGGGUGAUGCCAGCAUCUAGCAGACUAAAAACACGGUCUUCAAAUAAAACAGUGCUACCUCUUGAUGGAGAUAGCACCCCGGUUGUACAUGCACGAGAACCAGCCCUACCACACAUAACCCAAACUCUCGCAGAUUGUACCCCUACUGCGAUGGACAGAGAACCAGCUUCACCCAAUCUAACCCCAACCCCAGCAGAUAGUAACCCAGUUCCUGUUGACACAACACCAUCUCCACCACAGAGCUCCCAAACAAGAGCAGUUAGUAAGGCAGCUCUAGUGCCCAAAGGGCCAGUACUACCACGGCGAACCCCAACUCCACCAGUUAGUACGCCUAUUCCUGUGGAGGAAGCACAACAAGCUAGUCGUAGUUUAGCAUCUAUCGCAUUUGAUGAUGUUAAACGUAUGUGCGUAUCUUCCCAUCUUGGAAAUAUUAUACUGAAGAUGAAGGAAAAUGCCAGUUGUAGGUGUUUGUCCAGGAGUUAUGUGUAAGUAAUGUUAUUCAUGGCAUUUACUUUGCUUUGUCCCAUACAUUCUACCUCCAUGAUUGUUAUAAUACAACAAAUUUUCCCAUUUUUCUCUAUAGAGAAGGACCGAUUUGGAAACUCAGGAUGAGGUAACCUGUGCUAAUACCUCUGCUAUCUUCAAGAAUGCUUGGUGGCAGUAUCAGAAUUACCUGAAGAAAACGUACUUCACCGACAAGAAACUCAUAAAAUUCCCUUACGUUCUCCUGAGACACAUUUACUGGACGAUGACUGGGAACGCCUUGUUCUGUAUUGGUCCCGAACCAAGAAUGUGGUAAGGUCUAUGAGCUCAUUUUAUAUUUUUAAGUACUAUAUUCUUGUGUCUUGCUGUACUCUGUUCAUGUAGAACAAGUGCCGAAACCUGAAGAACAACUGUUCUAAUUUAAGAUUCCAUUGCUAUCAUAGUUCAAAAAAGCGCUAGGCGUUAAUUGUGCGUUUUGCCACCGCCUUGCGCUUUACUGACCAAAGCGCAUGCUUAUGCACAGUUAUGCAUAGAUUAAGCGUAGUUAUGCGCAAUGCGUUUCCCCAACGCCUAGAGCCUAGGCGCGCUUCGCUUAGGCGCGCCUUUUUUAACUAUGAUUGCUAUCGUGCAUACUGCUUUGCUCUUGUAUCACUGUAUUUACUCAUACAAACUUAUUUUUAAAUUGAGGAUCCAAUCGAAACUCCAGUGGCACAACAGGUAUGUUCACGCAUGUUUCUUUAACAGGCUUGCUCUUAUCAAUAGCUCUGUUGAUUUCAAUUUCAAUUGUGUAUGCAGUUGACUUCUCAUAUUAUGCACAUUACUAGCAUCACAACAGAGCCAAUAGUGUUGUUGUACAUGUAGACCCGUGGUACCCAUCUGAAAUCUUGUUGUGCCGUGUAGUUUCCCACGCUUUGUAUUCUUUCACUACUGCUUUGUCUUGAACUGAUAUGAUUUGAACCGUGUCUCUAUUUUGAUUUGGCAAGACAAUGAAGUGACCAUAGGACAUAGAUAUAUGUUUGUUUGAUGCUUUUAUUAUGUACUAGUACUUGGCAAUAGAAGACUUGGUAGUUUAAUCCUGUCCACCUUACUAAUGAACUGGUUCACCGAAAUGAGUUCCAUAUACUAGUACAUGCUAAACCUGUUAUGUGUCUGCUUGUUUCUUCUUUUAGAAUGCUGACAGAAUAUUGGGGAAGAGUGCCUUAUUAAGCAAUGGUAAUGCAGAUAAGGUUCAGGAUAGUGACACAUCCUUGUUGGUCUCCAACAAAGCUGAUAAAACAACUAAGGAAGACUAUCUCGAAGACAGUGAGACAACCCCAAAGUCCUGUCUUGGUUUAGUGUUCGAAUUACUGGCCACUACCGCUUGCACAAGCUAUUCAAACUCACUAUCUGAAUCAGUUCAGUUUCUUGAGUCUCAACUACAAGCUGAAAGACAUCGAUCAGCUGUGCUACGACAAGAAGCGGAAGGACUACGGAAGUCCCUGGAGCAUUCAGAUGCAUACUUUCUGGUGCAACAGCAAGCGUUGGAGGAUUUUAGCGCCAAAUAGGACAAAGCUAAUAAGCUUGCUAAGCUUAUUGCUAGCAUGGUGGAUACCACGUUUCUUGAGCUCUUCUGAAGUUGUUUCAGUUAUGCUCUUGUUUUGCUGCCGCGUUUAUUUGCACUUGUGGCCAAUUUUGACGGCCAGUGUAUGUAAUAUGCUGCUUUGUUCCCUAUAUUUGCACUGGUGGCGAACUUUGAUGCCCAGUGGAUGUAAUAUGUGUAAUAGCGGUAAUAGGCUAGCGUUAAUUGCUUGCUUAUUUAUUUCCUUAUUGUCUUGUUUAGUUCUUUUUCUGUGUUUUUCUAGUGGCCACAAUAACCUAUUUUUGGAAACUAGGCCAAAAUAAUCAUGGCAACACACGGACUGUUGUAACCAUGGGCCUCCUGCGGGCCGUAUGAUCCAUGGGCCUUCUAUGGGCUGUAGGAUCCAUUGGCCUUCUAUACGGGACGUAGGAUCCAUGGGCCUUCUACGGGCCGUACGAUCCAUGGGCCUUUUACGGGCCGUACGAUCCAUGGGCCUUCUACGGGGCGUAUCAUCAUUUCGCCAAUCAUGGUCCAUACUAUUCAUGGACAAUAACGGGCCAUUAAUAGGCCGUAUUUGAUAAGUUUAUGAAAACAGCCCAACGGGUUUUUUUCGACAUGAAAACGGCCCAACGUAUUAACGGGCCGACUGUAACCACGGGCUGAAUUUGGCCCACAAUCAGAAAAUGACAGUAACGGGCCAUAAGUAACCGAAUGCUGGAAAUGAGCCCAAGAAUAAAUGGGCCCUGAGAAGGCCGAAAGAUAACAUGGGCUGGAAAUGGCCCAACGGAAUAAUGGGCUGUUAAUGGGUAUAAAGUGAUACAUUGUUCAUUACGGGCCAGUUUUACCACGGGCCGUUAAGGGGCCGAGGGUUACUAAGGGCCUCAUAUGGGCCGAAAGACGUCAUGGGCCAUACAUGGGCCGGAAGUUAAAACGGGCUGGAAUUAUAUUGGACGGCCCAGAUGACGCUACUGGGCCUAAUUCGGAUAGGCCGUAAACGGGCCCUGGGAUAGCGGGCUGUAAUUGGGCAAUAUGCGAACAGGCCAUUAACAGGCUUGUCGUGGGCCGGCCCGCCACCUUUUGACCAAGUCAAACGGGCCUGCCUUUGCACAGGAAUGGGCCUCUGUUGGGCCGUGCCACGUGUCGACGUAUCAUAGGUGCUUUGGGUCCAAUGAGUGGAUGACAUCUGUCCCAACGGUGAGCCCACACGUGUUUCCUCCAGCCAAUGAUGAUUUUACAUGUGGAAAAUCCCCAUUGGCCGGGGCUAUUAAUGGGUUAUCGGAUCCAAAACCGGACCCGAUAGCUUAACGGCGUUCCGUUCCGGUGGAUGCCACGUGUCAGUCACCCUUGACGAAAGCACUUCUGUGACGCUUGAUUUAUCGUCAUGGAAGUGGACACUUCCGUGAUGAUAAUUUUGGUCAUGGAACACUUCUACGACAACACAGGUAUGACUAUCUUGAUUCUAUCAUAAAUUUUUCAUGGAUGUACAUGCAUGACAGAAAACGUGACCUAUUGUGACAAACACGUAUCAUCACGGAAGUGUAUUUUUUUGUACUGCAAGGACCAUGAUGGCGGAGUUCAAGUCUCCAUACAACUUUUGGGCCAAAGCCAUUAACACCGCAUGUCAUGCAUCCAAUCGGCUCUACCUCUGCAAGGGUUUGAACAAGACUCCAUAUGAGAUUCUCGCCGGUAACAAGCCCAACCUCAAGUACUUCCAGGUGUUCGGGUGUAAGUGUUUCAUUCUCAAGAAAGGUGCUCGUUUGUCUAAAUUCGAGGCUAGAGCUCAAGAGGGCAUAUUUGUUGGUUAUGCUAAAAACUCUUAUGCUUACCGUGUCCUCAAUAAGUCCACGGGACUUAUUGAGGAGACAUGUAACGUGGAGUUUGAUGAGAAUAACGGCUCCCAACACUACAAAAAAAAUACACUUCCGUGAUGAUACGUGUUUGUCACAGUAGGUCGCAUUUUUUGUCAUGCAUGUACAUCCAUGACAAAUUUAUGAUAGAAUCAAGAUAGUCAUACCUGUGCUAUCGUAGAAGUGUUCCAUGACAUUACCAAAAUUAUCAUCACGGAAGUGUCCACUUCCAUGAUGAUAAAUCGCGCGUCACAGAAGUGCUUUCAUCAAGGGUGACCGACACGUGGCAUCCACCGUAACGGAACGACGUUAAGCUAUCGGGUCGGGUUUUGGAUCCGAUAACCCGUUAACAGCCCCGACCAAUGGGGAUUUUCCACGUGUAAAAUCAUCAUUGGCUAGAGGAAACACGUGUCGGCUCAUCGUUGGGACAUAUGUCAUCCACUCACUGGACAGAAGGCUCCUAUGAUACGUCGACACAUGGCACGGCCCAACAGUGGCCCAUUCCUGUGAAAAGGCCGGCCCGUUUGACUUGGUCAAAAGCUGGCGGGUCGGCCCAUGGAAAGCCUGUUAACGUCAUGUUCGCAUAUAGCCCAUUUACAGCCCGCUAACCCAAGGCCCGUUACGCCCUAUCCGAAUUAGGCCCAGUAGCGUCAUCUAGGCCAUCCAAUAUGAUUCCAGCCCAUUUUCACUUCUGGCCCAUGUAUAGCCCAUGACGUCUUUCGGCCCAUAUGACGCCCUUUGUAACUCUUGGCCCAUUAGCGGCCCGUGCUGAAACUGGCUCGUAAUGAACAGUGUAUUACUUUACACCCAUUAACGGCCCGUGGUGAAACUGGCCCGUAAUGAACAGUGUAUCACUUUAUACCCAUUAACGGCCCAUUAUUUCAUUGGGCCGUUUCCAGCCCAAGUUAACUUUCGGCCUUCUGAGGGCCCAUUUAUUCUUGGGCUCAUUUGCAGCGUUCGGUUACUUACGGCCCGUUACUGUCAUUUUCUGCUUGUGGGCCAAAUUCAGCCCGUCGUUACAGUCGGCCCGUUUGUGGACCGUUAGUCUGUUGGGCCAUUUUCAUAGCAUCACCAAAUACGGCCUAUUAACGAUGGCCCGUUAUGGUCGGCCCAUGAACGGACGAUUCCAACUCUAGCCCGUUUACGGUCAUAAUGCGGUCUGUUUGGCCCAUGUUUGGCCAAUCGAUCAUACGGCCCGUAUAAGGCCCAUUGAUGAUACGGCCCGCAGAAGGCCCAUUGUUUCUACGGCCCGUAGAAGGCCCAUUGUUUCUACGGCCUGUAGAAGGCCCACUGUUUCUACGGCCAGUAGGAGGCCCAGUGUCACUACAGUAAAUAUUAGCCCACGGUUAUUGUGGCCUAGUUUUAAAAAAUAGGUGCAGCCACUAGCUAACCGCGGAAAAAGAACUGCAAUGACUACAGGCAAACAAAUAAACAAGACAACAAGGAAAUAAAUAAGCAAGCAACUAACGCUAGGCUAUCACGGCUAUUACACAUAUUACAUCCACUGGGCAUCAAAGUUUGCCACCAGUGCAAAUAUAGGGAACAAAGCAGCAUAUCAUAUACACUGGUUGUCAAAGUUGGCGACCAGCGCAUAUAAAUGCCGCAGCAAAACAAAUCCAGAACUGAAACCACUUCAGAAGAUCUCAAGAAACAAUAUCCUGGGUACCCAUAAUGCUGGCAAGAUGCUUAGCAAGCUUAUUAACUUUCUCUUGUUUGGCGCUUAAAUCCUCCAGCGCUUGUUGUUGCACCAGAAAAUAUGCAUCUGAAUUCUGCAGGGACUUCCUCACCUUCAGCUUCCUGUCGCAACACAUCUGAUCGAUGUCUUUCAACUUGAAGUUGAGACUCAAGAAGACGAACUGAUUCAGGCAGCGAGUUCGAAGAGCUUGUGCCAGCAGUAGUGGCCAGUAACUCGAACACUACAUCAAGACAGGACUUUUGGGUUCCCUCACUGUCGUCAAGAUAGUUUUUAUCAGCUUUCUUGGAGACCAACAGGGAUGUCUCACUAUCUUGAACCUUAUCUGCAUUACUUCCUUUACCAUUGGAUAACGCGGUACUGUUCUCCAAUAUUUUGUCCGCAUUCUAAAAGAGAAACAAGCAGACACAUCACAUGUUUACCAUGUUGUAUAUGAAACUCAUUUUGGUAAAUGAGUUUAGUAGUAAAGUGGACAGGAUAACAGUAUGAAACAAACAUAUAUCUAUGUACCAUGGUCACUUUAUGGUCUAUAUCAUUCUAGUUUUUGUUGCCAAAUCAAGAUAGAGACACAGUUCAAAUAAUAUUUGUUCAAGACAAAGCAGAAUAGACAGGAUAUAAGUGUGGGUAACUAUAGAGCAAUAACAACGCUUGUAAUGUGCAUGACAUGAGAACAUAACUAUUUAUUCAAUUGAAACUAAAAUCAACAUAGAGCAGGUUACAACAGCAAACCAGUUAAAGAAACAGGUUUAAAACAUACCUGUUGCGCCAUUGGAGUUUCAAUUCCAUUCUUCAAAUUUGAAAAUAGUUGGUAUGAGUAAAUACAGUAAUGCAAGAGCAAAGGAGUAUGAACUAUAGCUACAGAACCUGACCUGAGAACAAAUCUUCUUCUCCUAUAAGCGUUGAGUUGGGAUUCGGAGUGGUGGUCCUCGUGCUUUGGGCACUGCAGUUCCCUUACUAACUGCUCGUGUUUGGGUGCUCUGUGGUGGAGACGGUGUUGUGUCAACUGGAACUGGGUUACUAUCUGCCGGGGUUGGGGUUAGAAGGGGUGUAGCUGGUUCUCUGUCCAACUGGGUAGGGGUACAAUCUGCGAGAGUCUGGGUUAUGUGUGGUGGAUCUGGUCCUUGGGCAAGUACAACCGUGGUUCUAUCUACAUCAACUGGUAGCAUUAUCUUUUCUGAAGACCGUGUUGUUACUCCCUUAGAUACUGCCAUCACGCUCUCCAAUUCAAAUGGCUGAUAAGCAAGAAAAGUAAUUGAAAGUAUAGACAUUGUAUGAUAGACAGGUGCAAUGGAUAGUGGGGAAUAAAAGAGGGCAUGAAAUAAUUCAUAUUUAUGUUGUCUAACCAAACAGGAUAGCAUGACACAAUUUCACAUAUAUGAUGGCUAACUAAACAAGAUAGCAUGACACAAUUUCACAUUAUGAUGGCUAACUAAAAAAGAUGGAAAGACAUAGUUCAAAAUAUGAGACUAUGUAAACAGGAUGACAUGACAUAACUAUAUAAAGUGUUUAUUAAAUAGGUUGGCAUGCCAUAAUUCACAUACACUCACGAAUAGAAUGCCAUAAUUCAAAAUAUGAUGACUGUAAACACUAAACAGGAUGAGAUGAUAUAACUAUAUGAUGUCUUUAUUAAAUGGGUUGCCAUGCCAUAAUUCAGAUAGAUGAUGUGUAUGUACUAUGUAAACAUGAUGGCAUGAUAUAAUUCAAAUAUAUGAUUUAUAUAAUAAGCAAGUAAGCAGAUGGCAAUCCAUAUAUGAUGUAAAAACUAAGCAAUGCAAGACAACAUGCAUGACAUGGGUAAUAUAACCCUGCCAAGUUUGAGCAUAGACCUCAGGGGGGAAAUAGGACUGGUCAUCAGUCUCUGAAUCCUCCUCUGAGGAGCUCUCUGUAACCAGCAAGAUGUCUGCUUCAGCAGGUAGCAUUGUCUGCUCUGAAUACCUUGUUUUCACUCCAGAUACUUCCAUCACUGCUUCAAAUGGCUGAUGCACAGGAAGAGUAGUUGUAUAUACAAACAUUGUCGACAAAUGGAACACGUAAUACAAAAAAUGAUAGCAUGAUAUAAUUCACAUACAUGAUGAUUGGCUAAACAGCAUGGCAUUGCAUAAUUCACAUAUAUAAUGCCUUUGCAACAAGAUAGUAAUUCACAUAUAUAAUGUCUUGCAACAAGAUGGCAAUGCAUAAUUCACAUAUAUGGUAAUUAGACACUGAACAGGUGGCAUUCACACAAAGCAUGUAUAAACUAAUCAAAUGACAUAGCAAUGUGAGACACCAUACGCACGAUAUGAGCAACAUAACCCUGCCAAGUUAGAGCAUACACCUCGGGGGGGAAUAGGAUUGGUCAUCUGUCUCUGAAUCCUCCUCUGAGGAGCUAUCCGUAACCAGCGAGAUAUGCGCUUCGUCAGAUAGCAUAGUCUGCUCGGAAGACCUUGUUUUCACUCCAGAAUUUGCCAUCACCGUGUCAAAUGGCUGAUGCACACGAAGAGCAGUUGAAUGUACUAACAUUGUUGACAAAAGUAAUAUGUAACGGAAAAAAAGGAUGGACUGAUAUAAUUUACAUAUAAGAUGACUGGCUAAGCAGGAUGGCAUUGUAAAAUUCACAUAUAUGAUGCCUGGCUAAACAAGAUGGCGUUGCAUAAUUCACAUAAACGAUGAAUAAACUAAACAGAUGACAUUCGCACAAAGGAUGUCUAAACUAAGCAGAUGACAUAUUUGAUGUAUAAAGUAAGCAAUGCAAGACACCAUAUGCAUGAUAUAACCAACAUCAGCAUGUCAAGUUAGAGCGAAGACCUCAGGGGGUAAAUAGGAGUUGUCUUCUCCUUCUGAAUCCCCCUCAGAACAGAUAUCUUCCUCUCGAUUACAAUCCGAAAUGCGUGGAGGGGGGCUGCCUUGCGCCUACCAUGGAGCGACGUCUGCAUGAAAUUUUAUUGCCACGCAAAGCUCGUCUCUUUUGCUCUACAUGUUCAGUUCCAUUAUUUACAAUAACUGUCAUGCAUAGGAAUAAAACAUAGUGAGAUUAUGUAAGGAGUGCAUGCAGAAAUCCAGAGUGAUGGUAGCAACCUGUGGAUAGACCCAAAACCAAUAAUAGCAGGCAGAUAAUGGCUUCAGUUAAAAAAUACAGAUAAUGGCUUCUUUACUGUUUGUUUCCCACCCAACAUGAAACUCAUAGUAGACACCGGAGAUUAACCAGAUAGUAGAUAGAUACUAUUGAUAGCGGCCCCGAUAUGUACCCCACAACCAUUUAAAAACUCAAGUUUGACCAUUAGUUUGGAGCUGACUCAGAGUCUAAUCGGUGAACAGGACGAUAAAGUAGCAUGUAAUAUUAAGCGAUGCAUAACGUAAGCAGACACGAAAGACUGCGACCUCUCUUGCGGACCCGUGUAGUCCUCGAGGUCAUCUGCUCGGUUGAUGAUGGUAAUGCAGUUUUCAUGGCUGCCAGCGGCGGGGAAGAAGAUCUGAGGCGGCGAAAGACAGUCUGGAGGCCGGAUCCCUGCUGUGCUGGACCCUUCUGUCGUUGGAGCAGCUGAGCUGGGGUGGACGACGGCGCAGCAGGAGCGGGACAAACCACGCAAGGUUUUCUUUGACAACUAUCUGUAAGAGAAGUAAUUCUGUAAGGGCUCGUUUGAAUUAGAGGAUUCCAACAAUGCAGGGAUAGGAAAUAGACAAGAAUAGGAUAGGAAUGCACGUGCAAAACAGAGAAUUUAAAAACACAGGAUUUCUGCCAAUCUGGGUGUUUGAUUCACAACAAUUGGAUGAUCACAGGAUGCAAAGAAGCAUGGUGAGAUUAAGUCAAACCACAAGAAAAUGUACGGUUAUAAUGCUAUUAUGCUACUAUCUCUUAGUCUUGUGCUUCAUGAAUAGGAAUUUGAAAAGGAGGACAAGUGAAAAUUAAAAUUCCUACGUUUUUUCUUUCAAGGAGACACUAAAGGAACAAAUCUGUGUGCUCAGUGGACAAUAUAUAUAACAUGUAGAGUAAAAAAGAGAUGCAACAAGUGUAUAACCUCUUUGGCGAAGCCAUGUCGAUCUCAGCGUGAUUGGGUUGGCCGGUAAGGAUGCUCCGGCUGACUUUGCUGUCAGAGGAGGGGAAGAAGAUCUUAGGUGUCUGGAGAUGGAGCCCGAGGUACUGCUCCGCUGUGAUGGAGGGUUUCGUCGUUGGAGCAGCUCAAGUGAGUUGUACGACGCCGAGGCUGAAGCAGGACAAGAGAGACAACGAACAACGUUAACCUGAGUGGAAUUCUAAUAGCAUCUCCAAUACAUGACGUAAAAUACAUAACCACAAAAUGCUAGAUGUAAAAUACAUCAGCCGCUCAUCUCUGAACUUAACUGACGAAACUGAACUUAACUGUCGAAACUGAACUUAACUGUCGAAACUGAAUUUUGCUGUCGAAACUGAAUUUUGCUGUCGAAACUGAACGCACUAGCAAGGUGAGGCUACACGUCGGUCGACUGACUUUUUCAUCUCUGGUCAGUCGAUUUUGCAGCCGUUGGAUACGAAAUCAAGGGCAUGCGGUUCAUCUUCAACCUCCACCCCCCUAAGCCGCCAGCCACCACCGGCNNNNNNNNNNNNNNNNNNNNNNNNNNNNNNNNNNNNNNNNNNNNNNNNNNNNNNNNNNNNNNNNNNNNNNNNNNNNNNNNNNNNNNNNNNNNNNNNNNNNNNNNNNNNNNNNNNNNNNNNNNNNNNNNNNNNNNNNNNNNNNNNNNNNNNNNNNNNNNNNNNNNNNNNNNNNNNNNNNNNNNNNNNNNNNNNNNNNNNNNNNNNNNNNNNNNNNNNNNNNNNNNNNNNNNNNNNNNNNNNNNNNNNNNNNNNNNNNNNNNNNNNNNNNNNNNNNNNNNNNNNNNNNNNNNNNNNNNNNNNNNNNNNNNNNNNNNNNNNNNNNNNNNNNNNNNNNNNNNNNNNNNNNNNNNNNNNNNNNNNNNNNNNNNNNNNNNNNNNNNNNNNNNNNNNNNNNNNNNNNNNNNNNNNNNNNNNNNNNNNNNNNNNNNNNNNNNNNNNNNNNNNNNNNNNNNNNNNNNNNNNNNNNNNNNNNNNNNNNNNNNNNNNNNNNNNNNNNNNNNNNNNNNNNNNNNNNNNNNNNNNNNNNNNNNNNNNNNNNNNNNNNNNNNNNNNNNNNNNNNNNNNNNNNNNNNNNNNNNNNNNNNNNNNNNNNNNNNNNNNNNNNNNNNNNNNNNNNNNNNNNNNNNNNNNNNNNNNNNNNNNNNNNNNNNNNNNNNNNNNNNNNNNNNNNNNNNNNNNNNNNNNNNNNNNNNNNNNNNNNNNNNNNNNNNNNNNNNNNNNNNNNNNNNNNNNNNNNNNNNNNNNNNNNNNNNNNNNACUGAAGUGUAGCUAAAUCGGAGCAGCAUCGGAAGCAAGAGCAAGAGCGAGAGCAGCAGGGCGAGCAAGAGCAAUAGCAAGAGCAGACCAGGCAGGGAACCGAGAACAAGAGCAGAGCAGCAACGCGAGCGAGAGCUAAAGCAGCAGCAGCUCCUACUGAUGUGGACGUCGCCGCCGAGGGAGCGAUGCCGUGGAGGAAGUGGUCGGCGACGCCGCCGUGGAUGGAGCCGCGCCGUGUCGGCUCGGGACCGAGCGCCGGCAGCACCGUGAGAUCGAAUCAAGAAGAAAAUGCGGCGAUUAGUGUACAACCUCUUUGGUGGCGCCGAUUAGGCCGUAGCUUCAUCCGAGGAAACGGUGAUGAUGAUGCUCUUCCGGUGGUGCAGGUGAAGACGGCGGUGUGGGAAUGGAGGUGGCGCGAAAGACGAGGGGAACGUCGGGGCAGCUCCUUGGAGGUGGAGGACGGGGUGGCUGAACCGGCGGGACGAUGAGAUCGACGACGGAUCCUCAUCCGGUACGGUGGAUGAGGGACGUCGAGGUGUUGCUGUGGACGACGUCGUCGGGGAAGAGGCUCCGGCUGGGUGGCGAACGGAGCAUGGUGUGGGGUUUCAUCGCGGGUUUUCGCGGCCUCGCUGUACGAAUGGGUGGGCGGAUGGGAUGGCAGUAGGGAAUCAUGGCUUAGAGACACGCUUGUCCGAAAUGUGGGGUAAGUUACAAAAGUACCCCCCACCGAUUCGAGGCGGUUCUUUCGGUUCAGGGGUACCACGGGCAUUUCGCGUGUCGGGAUUUCACAGGAGGUGGGAGUUUUCGCGCGCGUUGUAAUUUCGGAAUAGCAAGGCGCGGGUUGAGAUGGAGGGAGUUGUCGGAGCACAACGAGACAAAGAUAUAUCUUAAAUAUUUUGGGCUAACAAGGCGCGGGUUGAAAUUUCCGGACAAGCCUAACGUGUACUGUGCCAAAUCAAUGCGCACUACAAAUGUCAUUCAAAACUUUGAAUUCAUGUUAUGUUCAAUUAAAAUAUUUCGCUACGUGUAUAAUGCAUGCAACCUACUACUCAAAUGAACGUUUUAAUGCAUUCCAAACGUAUAUACUACCGCUUCAAUAUGAAGUAAAUUUGAAUUCGUUUCUCUAUUUGAAUAAGAUCUACAGUAAUGAUUGUUGUGAAGUCAAAGCAUUUGAAUUCGUUUCUCUGUUUUAAUAAGAUCUACAAUCAUCAUUAUUGUCAAGUUAAACCAUCGUUUGUGUAUUAUCUUCACAGCACACCACAUGAUUAGUCUCGAGUUACAUAUGAACUAUGUGCACUAUAUGAACUCGAACUAGAUUUUUUGAAUCCACUUUAUUUUGAUUUCAAAUCACAUUACAUUUCUAGCUCUAGCUAGAUCUUCAUAAUCUAAACCAUGUCUCAUAUGUAUAAUGUGUUUAUCACAUUAUGUAUGGUGCCCCGCCCCCUACGCCUACAAGUAUUUAGAUGUGAGUUGCAAACACCACACAUUACCACAAAUUCAAAUAAAAUGUGAGAAUGUUCGAUAUAUAGUAUUGUUUAGAUUGUUCGAUAUUUAGUUGUAAGCUCCAAACGCCACACAUUAUCACAAAUUCAAAUAAAAUGUGAGAUUGUUUGAUGUAUAGUAUGGUUUAGAUUGUUCGGCAUUUAGCUGUGAGUUGCGAACGCCAUGCAUUAUCACAUUAUGGUAUAACAUGUGCACAGCACGUGUAUCACCGCUAUAUUCAUGCAUGCAAUGUUUAAAACACUAUGAUCUCCGAUUCAAAUAUAUGAAUCCGCUUUCAUAUCAAAUUAUGAUCUUUGUUAGUCUCUUACACCCACACAAUCCUCUAAACUUUGUAGCUACCACUAACUUUCUCUCGUGCAUGCACACGCCCUCCUCGCCCUCCCCCUCCCUCGGCAUUCUAUCCACCGGGCACAUUCAUUUUUUUCUUUAGGUCGUUCUCCCAGAGUCUCCACAACUCCUUUCCGACACACACCGAUCGAUAAACCUCUCCAGCGAUGCCUGCCUACAACAUACACACACACCUUCAAUCUCCUCCUUUAUGUGUCCUUGCCUCGUGUCUCUCAUACGGUCAGACACACGUGUAAACUCUCGCCCCUCUUUUCAUCGAUCUCACAACCACACACUCCUCCCCCUAUCUAGCUAGUAGUUGGGCCUCUCGCACCACCUCCUAGCUCCAUUCUCUCUGUCUAUCCGUAUCGCUGGGCCUUAUUUGCCUCUAACAAAUGGACGUACACCGACUGAUCUCUCGCUAUACAUGUAGCUAGCUAGGUCCUUAUAACUCGUUUUUACCCACACGUCAAUCGAUCUACCUCAUUAGUUGUGUCUCUCCCUUCCUCCAACAAACAACAAUUGAUCUACCGAUCUAGUUAGGUUUGCUUACCAAACACAUGGUUCCCCUUCAUCAUCCAUGGAUGCGUCCCGACAGAUCUAUCACACACACGCACACACAGAAACACAUCCCCACUCUUAUUGAUAACAUUGCAGUUCCACCCUCAGUUUGUCUAGUAGGUGUUGGAAAUAUGCCCUAGAGGCAAUAAUAAAAUGGUUAUUAUUAUAUUUCCUUGUUCAUGAUAAUUGUCUAUUGUUCAUGCUAUAAUUGUGUUAUCCGGAAAUCGUAAUACAUGUGUGAAUACAUAGACCACAACGUGUCCCUAGUAAUCCUCUAGUUGACUAGCUCGUUGAUCAACAGAUAGUCAUGGUUUCCUGACUAUGGACAUUGGAUGUCAUUGAUAACGGGAUCACAUCAUUAGGAGAAUGAUGUGAUGGACAAGACCCAAUCCUAAGCAUAGCGCAAAGAUCGUGUAGUUCGUUUGCUAGAGCUUUUCCAAUGUCAAGUAUCUUUUCCUUAGACCAUGAGAUCGUGUAACUCCCGGAUGCCGUAGGAGUGCUUUGGGUGUACCAAAUGUCACAACGUAACUGGGUGACUAUAAAGGUACACUACAGGUAUCUCUGAAAGUGUCUGUUGGGUUGACACAGAUCGAGACUGGGAUUUGUCACUCCGUAUGACGGAGAGGUAUCUCUGGGCCCACUCGGUAAUGCAUCAUCAUAAUGAGCUCAAUGUGACUAAGGAGUUAGCCACGGGAUCAUGCAUUACGGUACAAGUAAAGAGACUUGCUGGUAACGAGAUUGAACAAGGUAUUGGGAUACCGACGAUCGAAUCUCGGGCAAGUAACAUACCGAUUGACAAAGGGAAUUGUAUAUGGGAUUGAUUGAAUCCUCGACAUCGUGGUUCAUCCGAUGAGAUCAUCGAGGAACAUGUGGGAGCCAACAUGGGUAUCCAGAUCCCGCUGUUGGUUAUUGACCGGAGAGUCGUCUCGGUCAUGUCUGCAUGUCUCCCGAACCCGUAGGGUCUACACACUUAAGGUUCGGUGACGCUAGGGUUGUAGAGAUAUUAGUAUGCGGUAACCCGAAAGUUGUUCGGAGUCCCGGAUGAGAUCCCGGACGUCACGGGGAGUUCCAGAAUGGUCCGGAGGUGAAGAAUUAUAUAUAGGAAGUCCAGUUUCGGCCACCGGGAAAGUUUCGGGGGUUAUCGGUAUUGUACCGGGACCAUCGGAAGGGUCCUGGGGGUCCACCGGGUGGGGCCACCUAUCCCGGAGGGCCUCAUGGGCUGAAGUGGGAAGGGAACCAGCCCUUAGUGGGCUGGGGCGCCCCCCUUGGGCCUCCCCCUGCGCCUAGGGUUGGAAACCCUAGGGGUGGGGGCGCCCCACUUGGCUUGGGGGGCAAGCCACCCCCCUUGGCCUCCGCCCCCCCCCCCUCAGAUGGGAUCUCCAGGGGCCGGCGCCCCCCCCAGGACCCCUAUAAAUAGUGGGGGGGAGGGCAGCAGCAAGACAGCCCCUGGCGCCUCCCUCUCCCUCCCGUGACACCUCUCCCUCCCGUUUGCGCUUGGCGAAGCCCUGCCGGGAUCCCCGCUACUUCCACCACCAUGCCGUCGUGCUGCUGGAUCUCCAUCAACCUCUCCUUCCCCCUUGCUGGAUCAAGAAGGAGGAGACGUCGCUGCUCCGUACGUGUGUUGAACGCGGAGGUGCCGUCCGUUCGGCGCUCGGUCAUCGGUGAUUUGGAUCACGACGAGUACGACUCCAUCAACCCCGUUCACUUGAACGCUUCCGCUCGCGAUCUACAAGGGUAUGUAGAUGCACUCCUUCCCUCUCGUUGCUAGUAAACUCCAUAGAUGGAACUUGGUGAUGCGUAGAAAAUUUUAAAAUUCUGCAACGAUCCCCAACAGUGGCAUCAUGAGCCAGGCCUAUGUGUAGUUUCUAUGCACGAGUAGAACACAAACUUGUUGUGGGCGUAGAUGUUGUCAAUUUUUCUUGCCACUACUAGUCUUAUCUUGUUUUGGCGGCAUUGUGGGAUGAAGCGGCCCGGACCGACCUUACACGUACGCUUACGUGAGACAGGUUCCACCGACUGACAUGCACUAGUUGCAUAAGGUGGCUAGCGGGUGUCUGUCUCUCCCACUUUAGUCGGAACGGAUUCGAUGAAAAGGGUCCUUAUGAAGGGUAAAUAGAAAUUGGCAUAUCACAUUGUGGUUUUACGUAGGUAAGAAACGUUCUUGCUAGAAACCUAUAGAAGCCACGUAAAAAACAUGCAACAACAAUUAGAGGACGUCUAACUUGUUUUUGCAGCAUGUGCCUUGUGAUGUGAUAUGGCCAAAAGGAUGUGAUGAAUGAGAUAUAUGUGAUGUAUGAGAUUGAUCAUGUUCUUGUAAUAGGAAUCACGACUUGCAUGUCGAUGAGUAUGACAACCGGCAGGAGCCAUAGGAGUUGUCUUUAUUUUUUGUAUGACCUGCGUGUCAUUGAAUAACGCCAUGUAAAUUACUUUACUUUAUUGCUGAACACGUUAGCCAUAGAAGUAGAAGUAAUCGUUGGCGUGACAACUUCAUGAAGACACGAUGAUGGAGAUCAUGAUGAUGGAGAUCAUGGUGUCAUGCCGGUGACGAAGAUGAUCAUGGCGCCCCGAAGAUGGAGAUCAAAGGAGCAAAAUGAUAUUGGCCAUAUCAUGUCACUAUUUGAUUGCAUGUGAUGUUUAUCAUGUUUUACAUCUUAUUUGCUUAGAACGACGGUAGUAAGUAAGAUGAUCCCUUAUAAUAAUUUCAAGAAAGUGUUCCCCCUAACUGUGCACCGUUGCGAAGGUUCGUUGUUUCGAAGCACCACGUGAUGAUCGGGUGUGAUAGAUUCUAACGUUCGCAUACAACGGGUGUUGACGAGCCUAGCAUGUACAGACAUGGCCUCGGAACACACGCAAUACACUUAGGUUGACUUGACGAGCCUAGCAUGUACAGACAUGGCCUCGGAACACAGAAGACCGAAAGGUCGAGCAUGAGUCGUAUAGAAGAUACGAUCAACAUGGAGAUGUUCACCGAUGUUGACUAGUCCGUCUCACGUGAUGAUCGGACACGGCCUAGUUAACUCGGAUCAUGUUUCACUUAGAUGACUAGAGGGAUGUCUAUCUGAGUGGGAGUUCAUUGAAUAAUUUGAUUAGAUGAACUUAAUUAUCAUGAACUUAGUCUAAAAUCUUUACAAUAUGUCUUGUAGAUCAAAUGGCCCACGUUGCCCUCAACUUCAAUGCGUUCUAGAGAAAACCAAGCUGAAAGAUGAUGGCAGCAACUAUACGGACUGGGUCCGGAACCUGAGGAUCAUCCUCAUAGCUGCCAAGAAAGAUUAUGUCCUAGAAGCACCGCUAGGUGAAGCACCCAUCCCAGAGAACCAAGACGUUACGAACGCUUGGCAGUCACGUGCUGAUGAUUACUCCCUCGUUCAGUGCGGCAUGCUUUACAGCUUAGAACCGGGGCUCCAAAAGCGUUUUGAGAAACACGGAGCAUAUGAGAUGUUCGAAGAGCUGAAAAUGGUUUUCCAAGCUCAUGCCCGGGUCGAGAGAUAUGAAGUCUCCGACAAGUUCUUCAGUUGUAAAAUGGAGGAAAAUAGUUCUGUCAGUGAGCACAUACUCAAAAUGUCUGGGUUACACAACCGCUUGUCUCAGCUGGGAGUUAAUCUCCCGGAUGACGCGGUCAUUGACAGAAUCCUUCAGUCGCUUCCACCGAGCUACAAGAGCUUUGUGAUGAACUUCAAUAUGCAGGGGAUGGAAAAGACCAUUCCUGAGGUAUAUUCAAUGCUGAAAUCAGCGGGGGUGGAGAUCAAAAAGGAACAUCAAGUGUUGAUGGUGAAUAAAACCACUAAGUUCAAGAAAGGCAAUGGUAAAAAGAACUUCAAGAAGGACGGCAAGGGAGUUGCCGCUCCCGGUAAGCCAGUUGCCGGGAAGAAGCCAAAGAAUGGACCCAAGCCUGAGACUGAGUGCUUUUAUUGCAAGGGAAGUGGUCACUGGAAGCGGAACUGCCCCAAAUACUUAGCGGACAAGAAGGCCGGCAACACCAAAGGUAUAUGUGAUAUACAUGUAAUUGAUGCAUACCUUACCAGUACUCGUAGUAGCUCCUGGGUAUUUGAUACCGGUGCGGUUGCUCAUAUUUAUAACUCAAAAUAGGAGCUGCGGAAUAAACGGAGACUGGCGAAGGACGAGGUGACGAUGCGCGUCGGGAAUGGUUCCAAGAUCGAUGUGAUCGCCGUCGGCACGCUACCUCUACAUUUACCUACGGGGUUAGUUUUAAACCUCAAUAAUUGUUAUUUAGUGCCAGCUUUGAGCAUGAACAUUGUAUCUGGAUCUCGUUUAAUGCGAGAUGGCUACUCAUUUAAAUCUGAGAAUAAUGGUUGUUCUAUUUAUAUGAGAGAUAUAUUUUAUGGUCAUGCCCCGCUGGUCAAUGGUUUAUUCUUAAUGAAUCUCGAACGUGAUGUUACACAUAUUCAUAGUGUGAAUACCAAAAGAUGUAAAGUUGAUAACGAUAGUCCCACAUACUUGUGGCACUGCCGCCUUGGUCACAUUGGUGUCAAGCGCAUGAAGAAGCUCCAUGCUGAUGGACUUUUGGAGUCUCUUGAUUACGAAUCAUUUGACACGUGCGAACCAUGCCUCAUGGGUAAGAUGACCAAGACUCCGUUCUCCGGAACAAUGGAGCGAGCAACCAACUUAUUGGAAAUCAUACAUACCGAUGUGUGCGGUCCAAUGAGUGUUGAGGCUCGCGGAGGCUAUCGUUAUGUUCUCACUCUCACUGAUGACUUGAGUAGAUAUGGGUAUGUUUACCUAAUGAAACACAAGUCUGAGACCUUUAAAAAGUUCAAGGAAUUUUAGAGUGAGGUUGAGAAUCAACGUGACAGGAAAAUAAAGUUCUUACGAUCAGAUCGUGGAGGAGAAUAUUUAAGUCACGAAUUUGGCACACACUUAAGGAAAUGUGGAAUAGUUUCACAACUCACGCCGCCUGGAACACCUCAGCGAAAUGGUGUGUCCGAACGUCGUAAUCGCACUCUAUUGGAUAUGGUGCGAUCUAUGAUGUCUCUUACCGAUCUACCGCUCUCAUUUUGGGGCUAUGCUUUAGAGACUGCCGCAUUCACUUUAAAUAGGGCUCCAUCGAAAUCCGUUGAGACAACACCGUAUGAAUUAUGGUUUGGGAAGAAACCUAGGCUGUCGUUUCUAAAAGUUUGGGGAUGCGAUGCUUAUGUCAAGAAACUUCAACCUGAAGCUCGAACCCAAAUCGGAAAAAUGCGUCUUCAUAGGAUACCCUAAGGAAACCAUUGGGUAUACCUUCUACCUCAGAUCCGAAGGCAUCUUCGUUGCCAAGAACGGGUCCUUUCUAGAGAAAGAGUUUCUCUCGAAAGAAAUAAGUGGGAGGAAAGUGGAACUUGAUGAGGUGAUAGUCACCCUUUCCGAACCGGAAAGUAGCACAGCGCGGGAAGAUGUUCCUGUGGUGCCUACACCGACUGGGGAGGAAGUUAAUGAUGAUGAUCAUGAAGCUUCGGAUCAAGUUACUGCUGAACUUCAUAGGUCCACAAGGACACGUUCCGCACCAGAGUGGUACGGCAACCCUGUCCUGGAAAUCAUGUUGUUAGACAACGGUGAACCUUCGAACUAUGAAGAAGCAAUGGCGGGCCCAGAUUCCAACAAAUGGCUUGAAGCCAUGCAAUCCGAGAUAGGAUCCAUGUAUGAAAACAAAGUGUGGACUUUGACAGACUUGCCCGAUGAUCGUCGAGCGAUAGAAAACAAAUGGAUCUUUAAGAAGAAGACGGACGCGGAUGGUAAUGUUACCAUCUAUAAAGCUCGACUUGUCGCUAAGGGUUAUCGACAAGUUCAAGGGGUUUACUACGAUGAGACUUUCUCACCCGUAGCGAAGCUGAAGUCCGUCCGAAUCAUGUUAGCAAUUGCCGCAUUCUAUGAUUAUGAGAUAUGGCAAAUGGACGUCAAAACGGCAUUCCUUAACGGCUUCCUUAAGGAAGAAUUGUAUACGAUGCAGCCGGAAGGUUUUGUCGAUCCUAAGAAUGCUGACAAAGUAUGCAAGCUCCAGCGCUCAAUCUAUGGGCUGGUGCAAGCAUCUCGGAGUUGGAACAUUCGCUUUGAUGAGAUGAUCAAAGCGUUUGGGUUUACACAGACUUAUGGAGAAGCCUGUGUUUACAAGAAAGUGAAUGGGAGCUCUGUAGCAUUUCUCUUAUUAUAUGUGGAUGACAUACUAUUGAUGGGAAAUGAUAUAGAAUUCUUGGAAAGUAUAAAGGCCUAUUUGAAUAAGUGUUUUUCAAUGAAGGACCUUGGAGAAGCUGCUUAUAUAUUAGGCAUCAAGAUCUAUAGAGAUAGAUCAAGACGCCUCAUUGGUCUUUCACAGAGUACGUACCUUGACAAGAUAUUGAAGAAGUUCAAUAUGGAUCAGUCCAAGAAGGGGUUCUUGCCUGUAUUGCAAGGUGUGCAAUUGAGCACGGCUCAAUGCCCGACCACGGCAGAAGAUAGAGAAAAGAUGAGUGUCAUCCCCUAUGCCUCGUCCAUAGGGUCUAUUGUGUAUGCCAUGCUGUGUACCAGACCUGAUGUAGACCUUGCCGUAAGUUUGGUAGGAAGGUACCAAAGUAAUCCCGGCAUGGAACACUGGACAGCGGUCAAGAAUAUCCUGAAGUACCUGAAAAGGACUAAGGAUAUGUUUCUCGUAUAUGGAGGUGACGAAGAGCUCGUCGUAAAGGGUUACGUCGACGCUAGCUUCGACACAGAUCUGGAUGACUCUAAGUCACAAACCGGAUACGUGUAUAUUUUGAAUGGAGGGGCAGUAAGCUGGUGCAGUUGCAAGCAAAGCGUCGUGGCGGGAUCUACAUGUGAAGCGGAGUACAUGGCGGCCUCAGAGGCAGCGCAAGAAGCAAUCUGGAUGAAGGAGUUCAUUAUUGACCUAGGGGUGAUUGCCAAUGCGUCGGGCCCGAUGACUCUCUUCUGUGACAACACUGGAGCUAUUGCCCUUGCCAAGGAGCCCAGGUUUCACAGGAAGACCAGGCAUAUCAAGCGUUGCUUCAACUCCAUUCGUGAAAGUGUUCAAAAUGGAGACAUAGAUAUUUGUAAAGUACAUACGGACCUGAAUGUAGCAGAUCCGUUGACUAAACCUCUCCCUAGAGCAAAACAUGAUCAACACCAGAACUCUAUGGGUGUUCGAUUCAUCACAAUGUAACUAGAUUAUUGACUCUAGUGCAAGUGGGAGACUGUUGGAAAUAUGCCCUAGAGGCAAUAAUAAAAUGGUUAUUAUUAUAUUUCCUUGUUCAUGAUAAUUGUCUAUUGUUCAUGCUAUAAUUGUGUUAUCCGGAAAUCGUAAUACAUGUGUGAAUACAUAGACCACAACGUGUCCCUAGUAAGCCUCUAGUUGACUAGCUCGUUGAUCAACAGAUAGUCAUGGUUUCCUGACUAUGGACAUUGGAUGUCAUUGAUAACGGGAUCACAUCAUUAGGAGAAUGAUGUGAUGGACAAGACCCAAUCCUAAGCAUAGCGCAAAGAUCGUGUAGUUCGUUUGCUAGAGCUUUUCCAAUGUCAAGUAUCUUUUCCUUAGACCAUGAGAUCGUGUAACUCCCGGAUGCCGUAGGAGUUCUUUGGGUGUACCAAACGUCACAACGUAACUGGGUGACUAUAAAGGUACACUACAGGUAUCUCUGAAAGUGUCUGUUGGGUUGACACGGAUCGAGAUUGGGAUUUGUCACUCCGUAUGAUGUAGAGGUAUCUCUGGGCCCACUCGGUAAUGCAUCAUCAUAAUGAGCUCAAUGUGACUAAGGAGUUAGCCACGGGAUCAUGCAUUACGGUACGAGUAAAGAGACUUGCCGGUAACGAGAUUGAACAGGGUAUUGGGAUACCGACGAUCGAAUCUCGGGCAAGUAACAUACCGAUUGACAAAGGGAAUUGUAUAUGGGAUUGAUUGAAUCCUCGACAUCGUGGUUCAUCCGAUGAGAUCAUCGAGGAACAUGUGGGAGCCAACAUGGGUAUCCAGAUCCCGCUGUUGGUUAUUGACCGGAGAGUCGUCUCGGUCAUGUCUGCAUGUCUCCCGAACCCGUAGGGUCUACACACUUAAGGUUCGGUGACGCUAGGGUUGUAGAGAUAUUAGUAUGCGGUAACCCAAAAGUUGUUCGGAGUCCCGGAUGAGAUCCCGGACGUCACGAGGAGUUCCAGAAUGGUCCGGAGGUGAAGAAUUAUAUAUAGGAAGUCCAGUUUCGGCCACCGAGAAAGUUUCGGGGGUUAUCGGUAUUGUACCGGGACCACCGGAAGGGUCCCGGGGGUCCACCGGGUGGGGCCACCUAUCCCGGAGGGCCUCAUGGGCUGAAGUGGGAAGGGAACCAGCCCUUAGUGGGCUGGGGCGCCCCCCUUGGGCCUCCCCCUGCGCCUAGGGUUGGAAACCCUAGGGGUGGGGGGCGCCCCACUUGGCUUGGGGGGCAAGCCACCCCCCUUGGCCUCCGCCCCCCCUCAGAUGGGAUCUCCAGGGGGCCGGCGCCCCCCCCCAGGACCCCUAUAAAUAGUGGGGGGAGGGCAGCAGCAAGACAGCCCCUGGCGCCUCCCUCUCCCUCCCGUGACACCUCUCCCUCCCGUUUGCGCUUGGCGAAGCCCUGCCGGGAUCCCCGCUACUUCCACCACCACGCCGUCGUGCUGCUGGAUCUCCAUCAACCUCUCCUUCCCCCUUGCUGGAUCAAGAAGGAGGAGAUGUUGCUGCUCCGGACGUGUGUUGAACGCGGAGGUGCCGUCCGUUCGGCGCUCGGUCAUCGGUGAUUUGGAUCACGACGAGUACGACUCCAUCAACCCCGUUCACUUGAACGCUUCCGCUCGCGAUCUACAAGGGUAUGUAGAUGCACUCCUUCCCUCUCGUUGCUAGUAAACUCCAUAGAUGGAUCUUGGUGAUGCGUAGAAAAUUUUAAAAUUCUGCAACGAUCCCCAACAGUAGGCCUCUCCCACCAUCUUCGAGAAGCAACUCCAUCACCCAUCCAGCACUCUACCCCUCUCCCUCCCUCUCCCUCCCUCUCUCUCUCCUCUCUCUCUCUCUCUGUCCCAUCAUAUUUCCCGUCCUUCAGUUAUGUAUGGAUGUCGACCGAUCUCCCUCAAGACAUAGCUGGGUCUCUCCUUCUCAACACAUAUACGAGUCGUUCUACCUCUAUAGUUAGGCCUAUGCCUACCCCUCCCCCCACCCCCCCUCCCCCCCACACACACCGAUACAUCGAGCGCUCUAGUCAUGUCUCCCUGCCACACACAAACUUGACAUGUGCCCUCUAACGUUCCGGUAGGCCAGUCACCCUAUAUCUUUGACUUGCACACACACACAAUAUCGAUGGCUCUCUUCAUCGAUCUCGCACCCACCCACUUGAUCCUCUCUUCGACUCUAUCGAUAGCUAUGACCGCUCCCUCUGUUCUCGUGGAUUGCCUGACCCUCUAUGUAUGAUAUGGAUAGGCCUCCAUUUCACACACAUUGCAUGCAAAAUUUUGUUUGAGAUGUCAUCGACACAUAUUCCCACAAAUAAUUCACGAAAUCAACCCCCCACCCCACCCCCACCCCAAAACAAAAAACACUCACGAACGCGGUUUGUAUCUCUCACACACACCCACAUAGGUGGGGGACGAGCACGAAGAGAAGAGGUACAUGCAUGGCGCACGUACUCCCGUCUCUUUCCCAACCACACCCACGCGGGUACAUGGUGGAGCUCAUUUCUGUACAAAAAAGGCAGCCCACGUGGUAAUUUGGCACGUGUACUGGUUGUCCACUUGGUGGAGGGAGGAUCGUCUACCACGGGUGAACAAACAAAUUGCGACUUGGCGUGUUAUGUUAAAAAAAGAGGCAAACCAUGUGGGGCCUACCUUAGAGGCAAGGCUCUAUACACUGGAGUACUUUUGAUGUGUCCCGUCAACUCGCAGAACGAGGAGAAGCUUCCUCAGUACGUCGUCUCCCCCGCCCAUGGGCGCGGUGGCUCGCAGGAUGAGGUGAAGCUUGCUCCGCCUUACGCCCGCUCCCUCGCCCAUGCGCGCGGUGGCUCGCAGGAGGAGGAGAAAAAUUUACUACUCCCUCCGUUUACUCCUCGUCCCUACUACCUUGGUUAUAGAGAUUAUAUCAUAUUGUUUGGAAUAUAUAUGCCCUUUAGUAGAUUUCAAUAUGAACUACUAGUACAUACUCCAAACACUGAUGUAUAUAUACGUAUUUUAGAGUGUAGAUUCACUCAUUUUGCUCCGCAUGUAGCACUCUCCCUCGCCCCUCGACCCUCGCCCACAUGGUGGACGUGCAGCAAUUCAUUCGGUCUCAUAUAGCCAGAACGAUAUAUACUGCACUACCAUUAUUGCUCGACUUCCCGAAGAGGCGAAGAGCCAAUCGCAAGGUUAAUAUUUUGGAGAUGCCAAGCGCAAGGUUAUAGGAGAACGAGUAGUAGGUGCCGCGUCAUUUAUAAAUAAAGUUUUUUUUCUUCAGUGGCACGUACACAAUAUGAUAGGUUCAUAUGGAGAGAAAAGGAAACCGCUCCACUAUAUACAUAGUCAGGACGGGCCAGCCUACACGGUUGCUUGCUGGGGUUGCUCUCUUCACACUCUCACGCACAAAACGACUGUGGCCACAUCUCUAACAUCCCGGCGGAUCACGUCCGCUUGGGGAAGGGGUGGAUGCUUAGUGUAGAUGCGGUGGCCGUCGCCGACGGUGAAGACCCACUGUCGGCACGUCCCGAUCAGGGGUCCCCGCCAUUCUCUCUCACAAAGCCGGUGAGGUUGCCUUCGUCCCUUGCUCACUGCCGCGACGUGGGCAGUUGCCGCCUCCCGCCGCCCUCCUCGAGGUUGAGCUACGUCCCUCAGGUACAACUCCCUUUACAGCCGGCUUGCACCACUGCUCCAGCUGCCCACAUCACUCCCUGUGGAUAUUUCUCUACUUCUUUGCCCCGCACAUACCUCUACUGGCUUCUACGUACUGUAUUUGUGAUGAGUUUAUGUCUCAUCAACUAGUCCCAGUAAUCUUAUUCUAAUCACGCUUCUUCAAUUUCUUUGCCACACGGAUGCUCAUCUCGAUUUUGGUGAAACUGCACAAAAUGAUCCGAUGGUCAAAAGGUUGCAAACUUCAUUUAUUAGGAAGCUCGAACAUUGCCAGCAAAUUGAAGCCUAGUCAGGGUUCACGGUUCAAGGGCUAGGGACUGCAUGGAUCGUUUUUUUCUUUAGCUGCCUCUGUUCCAAAAUAAGUGUCAACUUUAGUAGUAGUACAACUUUGUACUAAAGUUUGCACAAAGUUGAGACACUUAUUUUGGAACGGAGGGAGUACAUAUUUGCUAUGAUCUGUCAAUCAUUGAGAUGCAAUAGCAUGCAUGUUAGUCUCCUUUGUAUUUGAUGAAAUGUUGCAACGGGCAACCUUGGACGCAAGAUACAUGUAACAGAAGCUGGAAGCUUCAUAGCAUUGUACAAAUUUAUCUCGCUGAUAAAUUACAGUACGUACUAUACUAGUACUUCCUUCGUUCCUAAAUAUAAGUCUUUGUAGAGAUUUCACCAUGAACCACAUGCGGAUGUAUAUAGAUGCAUUUUAAGUGUAGAUUCAUUCAUUUUGUUCCGUAUGUAGUGGAAUCUCUACAAAGACUUAUCUACUAGUAAUAGCUAGCCCCCACUACUAGGGAUUCUCUAUCCUCUCCUUGAGCCACAUCAUCAAAAUUGAUGUAGCCGUUAGAUGAAGUAAAUCAGUCCAUAAUAGCUGUCUGAUCUAGACGUUGAGAGGCUCUGCACUAAGCCACAUGCAAGCAUGCAGAAAUACCGUCGCACAUGCAUGUGAGUGGGUUUUAAAUCACAUCAACAUGUCUGCAUGCAAGCAUGCACCGGUAGCAUGCAUGUAAGUGAGCUUUUAAGUCCCAUUAACAUGUCAAAAAGAAAAAUAUAAUCCCAUUAUGCAGUAGGAGUUGGCUGAUCUUUUUUCCUUACGUGGGAUGGUCUAAAUGAUGAUGGGAGUUUAUUUAGUUUGGCUACCACAUUUGUCAUGCGGUUAUAGAGUUUUUUUAGUUCUAUGAAAUCGAUAAUUUUGCGCAGAGAGAUAUACCGCUGUUCCGCGGCAACGCGCGGGGACUCAUCUAGUAAUAUUUAGGAACGGAGGGAGUACUAUGUAAAGAGUUAGGUGUCGCACGGUGAUAGUGUGAGGUGGGCCAUGUAAUCACUGAGCCUGCGUGUUUUCACUGCUCUUGCACGCCUCCGCUGUAAGAAUGGAGAAAAUUGUAAUCUAGUAGUAGUACCUCCUUUCGCCGAAAGCGUGGGACAUCCAGCAGUCCUACCACCUCAGUAAUAAAGACCAAUGAGCCGUCAAAUCACAUAGACCCAGCAGUAAGUUGGACGGACGAAGCAACCAUCACUCUUGCGCCAGUGAGAGGUCGCGUCCGCUCUGCCCGGGCAUGAAUGUGGCACCGAUUCUUUGGAGCAGCGCUGACCGUUUCGGGCGGGAAGAGCGCGCGAGCGAUGGAGGGGCUUUGGGUGGGCCAGGCUGGUCAGGAGCGGGCGUCGCAGCUGUCCGCAUGUCCCUACCGGACACGCCCGGAAACGAGAGGAUGCACCGACUCUCGCGGCUAAAAUCGUACACUACACAACAUCUCUCUGUAGGAGUAGGUCGAUAUGUCGCUCUCUCUAACACACACAUGCUGUUAAACACACACACACACGCAUGCACACGCACGCACCUUGGUCCCGUUGCACCUUCUAACGUGACUUAUUACACCUAGACGGAGGGAGUAGUAAGUAUACGAGAUACGGUGGCACACUCUUAAGUCGAAUACAAGUGCCCAAAAUUUGUGUGCAUGUUAUAAUAAGGAUUCACUUAAAAUAGUACGUGAGCGAACAGAGGGAUCAAUUGGACAGUGUUCCCGAGCAGUAGCGAGAUGUGUGAGGUAAGAUACACCGCUGGCGCUUUUAAUUUUUCUUAUUAAUUUGUUUGUUUCACCCUCUGACUGGUGGGACCCAACGUACUACGUGGAGAGAGGUAAGGUGACUAAGGCUGCAUUAUUUCUGCACCACUGUGGAUAGUCUUACCACCAAAGCCACAUGACACGAUUAUGAUUGAAAUCCCAAUGACUCCCACACACACACAAAAAACACGGCAUGCUUGUCACACGAAUGCAGGAAUGUAUAAAAGGUUAUUUCCCUCUCGUUAAACAUAACGAGAGGGUUGUGUAGCUGGUUAGCCUGUUCGCUCAUCAAACUUGAGGUCUCGGGUUCGAUAACUACACUUGAGCAUAAUUUGUGCCAGGAGGAUUCUUUGACUGGUCAGAAUGUUUUCUAGGGUUUGCACGCUUCACACUCUCUCUCCAGUAUAUAUAUACACGCUGGAGCCUCAGCGCUUGUAGUUGCUCUCUUCACACUCUCUCGCCCUCAGCGCUUGUAGUUGCUCUCUUCACACUCUCUCACCCUCUCCAGAUCUAAACAAGACUUCAUUGGCCUCUCUCUCCCCUCACUGCUGCUCAAAGAGCUGGCAGGAUCCGUCCGCCGGGAAGGGAAGGAGGCUUAAUGAUGUCGCCGUCGGCGAGGGACUACCGGCGCAGCUGUUCACUUUCCACCCAGCGGCGGCGCGGGAGGGCCUCCGACCCCUUCUUCUUCGCCGCCGUCCCGUCGCCCACCGAACCACGCCCCAAGAACCUUAAGGUAUAAUUUACUUACUCCACAUGCAUUGCUCUAGCUGCAUGUAUACCAUGAAUCUAGGACGUGGUUCAAAGAGGAAAGGAGUGGGGGAAAGUAGUGGGAAAAGUUGUAUAUAGCAUGAAUCUAGGACGUGGUUCAAAGAGGAAAUGAAGGGGGAAAGUUGUAUAGCAUGAAUCUAGGACGUGGUUCAAAGAGGAAAGGAAUGGGGGAAAGUAGUGGGGAAAGUUGUAUCGCAUAAAUCUAGGACGUGGUUCAAAGAGGAAAGGAAGGGGCGAAAGUACUAGUUCAAAAAGGAAAGGAAGGGACAAGGCAGUAGAGUUUGAGCAGGACUAGAUUUGUUGCGCUCACAUAGGGAAAGGUGUCUAAAGAUAACAAAACUGGGACCAACACAAAUAUGCUCCUUGGUUGUUUGUUCUUUGUUGCAACAGACUGUGCAUGACCACAGUACAUCGGUAGAUGCACAUGGUGCUGGUGCGUCCACUGUCCCGUGCAACUCAUUAGUUGUUGUUAAUCUAAGGCCCUAUUUGGUUAAAAACUCCCUAGUCCCUACCUGCUUGGUUCCAGGGACUAAACAUGGACUAGAGGUUAUUAAAUGACAUGCUAAAAGACCAUGUUACCCCUAGUAAUGAACUAAUAGAGACAAGGUGCGAUGCGUGGCAGGGGCAACUGUUGGAAAAAGUCCCAAAAAGACUCCCUCAGGGUCUUCUUUCUUUAGUCCCAAAUGCGCACUUUUAGUCCCUAAAACUCCCUCCUGUUUGGUUUAGAUGGGACUGACACGGAGAUUUUUUAGUCCCUACACCAAAAUGUCCCUGUAAACAAACACCCUCUAAUAAUGCCGCUGGAAAAUUGAUGCAAUGCCACAGUUAAAAGCAAAUUACAUGUUUAACGAAUUUUAUUGUUAAUAUAAUCUCUAUGUUAAUAUUAAUCAAUGCCACUGUUUGAGAAAUGCUAUUGUCUUGCUUUCUUUCCCAUUUAGAUAAGGUAGAUGCUUCUUUUUGUUGGCUUCUGUGUCAUCCACCGUUAUUGACCACUAAUUGUUUCCUUUGCACCUUGUUGUAAACAGGGUUAUCUACUUCACCUCGUUGCCAUUGUGACCUUUUGUUGCACUGCACAAAACACUUUUGUUUUAAGAGUGUUUUGUGCAGUUCAACCAAAAUGUCACACCGACAACGUUGCUUGAUUGCUUGAUCUUAGUGGAACUGCACAAGAGGAGAUCUUACUUCCUAUCCGUUAAGGCGAAUUUGGUUCAGAUCUUCUUCUUGUGAGUUCUUUGAAUUCCGCAUCAUGAGAGGUCGGUACUAGCCUUCUUUCACAUGAUUCUACAGUGUGCUUUCAUAUGUUGUGCUACUUGUAUGAUAAUGUUGCUUGAUUUUAGUUAACUGCACAAAUGGAGACAAGACUUCCAAUCUGUAUGUGCACCGUAAUAUCCCAUUGAGGUAAGAUAAGGAUAUUUCACAACUGCUGGCCUGUAUUUUGCCACUUUCAUCAGAAAAUUAAGUUUAGUACUAUACUUGUGCUCCCUAAUUGACAUGCCAAAUCUUACAUUGAAGGCGAAGCUUGUCUGUUAUUGAACCAAGUGAUGAAGGGGAAGAACAAGCGGAAGAAAAACAAAAAUCAACUCCCAGUGAUGUAAUGAAGCACUGGAACUGUGAUGACACAAGUAAUGAUAUAGUUUUGCAUCUUAAUUUAUUGCUAUGGCUGGAACGAGCAAUUGUUUUGCCACUGAUUUGAUGCCACUCUUAAUGUAAUAUGUAAUUAUCUCUACUUGUGUAAACAGGGAUCUUCUUUGAAGAUACCAUAUAUUUUAGUGGAACUGCACAAGAAGAUGUUGGAAACAUUAAACUAAUCGAGGAGUAUAUAGUAAGCAUGGCCACCACCGUAGAUAGCAACAGAUGGUUCCGGAGAAGUGCUUCAUCUGUAUGCUCUACACAAUAAGCCUCCUGACAAAGGUUGGUACUCGCCCAUUGAUUUCAUCCAUAUGAUUGAGCUUUGUCAUCUCUAUUGGUGUUGUGCUACUGUUUAGAUACUGUCAUGAAAAAGUGGUAUUGUCCUUGAGAAGUGCUUCAUAUGUGCUCUGUUUUAAAUAUUUCCUUUCCUUUUUUUCGAGCAAACAGGGAUGCUAGCAUUUAGUAGUCCUCUUGUCUUUGCACAACAGGAUCAUCUUCCUCUGAAGAAGAAUAUGGAGUACGUGAAGUGACUAGUUCCGAUUAUGCCAGGAUGAAGAAGCCCUGUCUAUCUUCUCAUCAGAAGGAGUAGUUGAAGGAUGGUUACAUUACUCCCCACAAGACCAAACUAACUUCAGCUCAGAAGGACUGACAAAUCUCCAUAUUUUUGCUGUGAUGCGUGAGUACAAUGUUGUUCUAGGAUUCUUUCCGGUGAGUUCCAUUUUUCUAAAAGUGUGCUCUACAUGGACCAUGUAUGUGCCUGUUGAAACUGUCAAUUCAUAGUACAGUUUGCUUUAUACUAAUCACUUUUUUGUAUGUGUGCAAACAGGGGUGCUCAGCUUGAUUUCAAUGGGAACUGCACAAAAUGUUCAUGAAUACAUCGAAUCAUUCAUUUCCACCACAAGAAAGGAGGUGCCCAUAAGUUCAAGGCGUUGCAACAUAUAAGGGCGAAAUCAUACAAGCUAUGUGCGAAUUUGGUUGAUUUUGGUGGAACUGCACAAAAAGAACAGCUGGUUUAUUUAGCACGAGGUGCCAUGUCAAUGUCCGAACUGAUGGCAAACCCUGCCCAUUCCACAAUCGUAGGCAUUUGAUAUUUUGGAAUGGGACAACCUUGUCAAAUGUUGCUCAUUGAUUUUAGCAAGACAUGCGUUUGAUAUUUUCGAAUGGGACGCCCUUUGCUGUCAGCAGCGUCGAUCAAUUUUUUCUUUAUUCUUUAGUUGUGAAGUAAAUAUUGCCUCUGACAUGUGAGUCGCUGAGAUGCAUAAUCAUCGAUUGUUUUGAAUGUUCUCUAUGAAUUGUCAGGCCUGUGUGUUUGAUUGCAAUGUACAGAAACGCUAAAAAGCUGCUCAAACUCUUUGUGCUCCUUCUGUUCCUUUGUACUUCGCACAUUGUGAAAGUGCAUACUUUUUUGUAUAAGAUUGGUCAAAGUAGAGAUACUUUGACUGCAGACAAAACUUGUAUGCACGGCUAGAAAGGACCGGAGGGAGUACAUGUGAAACUGCUGCAAACGAGGUGAUCACCCUGGGAAUAAUGCUAGUACGUAUUGUUUUGCAUGUUCAUCCAAUGCCAGUGAUACAGGAAUUCGAACUAAUCAAAAUAAAUUCAUUCAUACACGGUCGGAUUUCAUAUAAACAUGCCGGAUUUCAUUACAUUUCAUACAUUCUUCAACUAAAAAGGGGUGCGCUGGAGGUAUAAUUAAUUAACCGAAGCUACCCACCUGUGUCCCGCUGAGCCGAACAGAAGCUUCAGUGACUUAACUCCAGGUGCAGUUGCGUAACUGACAUGUGGCCUGUUGGGCCCAUGUGUCAGUCAGCCAACUGCACCAGCAGUUAAGUAGAAGCAGCGUUCUUCUCCAGCACAGCUCUCCGACUCCACGUCGCCGCCAAGAAGCUAACCGGCCGUCAAUGGUCAACCCGCCUAGCUUGGCUUCAACCGGAGGGUAGCAGCGGUGGCCUUACUUGGACCCGAGCGGCGGCGACCUACCGUGUUCUACUCUUCCUCGUUCUCUGUGUGGUGCGGCCUCGUUGGCAGCGGGGCGGGGCCUCGGCGGAGCCGGCGAUGUCCUCUGUCUCGUUGCUGGCGGGCGGCGCCUUAGUGGAGUGGUGGAAAUCCUCCCCCACGUUGCCGGCAGGGUGGGGCCUCGGCUGAGCCGGCGAUGUCCUCUGCCUCGUUGUUGGCGGGGCGGGGCCUCGGCGGAGCCGGAGGUGUCCUCUGCCUCGUUGUUGGCACCGCGGGGCCUCGGCGGAGUAGGGCCUCGUCGACGCCAGCGGAGCGGGGACUCGUUGGAGCCAGCAUUGUCCUCUGCCUCAUCCUCGGUCUCGCCAAACAGCGCCUCGCCCGCUUCAUCGCCCUCUUUGCUAGCCUCUUUGUAGGCGGCUGCAGCCUCCGCCACCCACAUGCGGUACCUCCAGCGCUCGAGGCGGCCCUUGCGGGCGGAGUGGUACGAGUCGAGCAACGCCUCCUGCUCCGCCCGCUCCGCGGUGAUCUGCUUCUCCACUUGCAGGUGCUCCUGGAGGAGAUGGUGGUUGUAGGCGGCAUCGGCCUGCGCCUCCCGGAACUGCUCCUCACGCAUCUGCCUCACCCUGUCCAUAUAUUGGGCACGGGCCUCGCUGAUGGUCAUGGUGCAAUGCACCGGCGAGGAUGGCGCGGAGGAGGGGGUUGGUGCCAGAUCGUUGACUACCAUGUUCUCCAUUGGGACGUCGUCGUCCUCCGGCUGCCUGCCGGCCAGCCGGUCGGCAGCAAUGGCUGCCAUCUCCUUGUGGUCCAUCGUCCGCCCGUCCCGAAGAGCGCUGGAGCGCGAGGAAGCCAUGGUGGGUAGUAGUGGUGUGGACAGGAGAAACGGAACGGAUGCGGAUGACUGCGGCUAUGGCCGGCGCAGCAGUUUAUAUAGCAAUGGUGGUCGGGCGGAGGGACGGACGUGUGGCGCCGGAGUAGCCGCCUCGGCAACCGCGUAUCAUUAAUGUGGGCGGCAGAUGGACGGAUGGACGACACUUGUGUCGUUUGAAGGCGGAGCAAUCGCCUGCACCGGGAAGUGGGGCGGGCGGCGCUGACUAUUUCGGGCGGAAAGCGCGCGCGGGCGAGGAGAUGACUUUACUUGGAGAGGAUGACAAUGGGGACCCACCAGGUCCAUAGCCUCACGUAUGCAAGUGCCUCCUUAUUAUAUAUAUAUAUAUAACUAUAAUUUAUUUUGCUUCCUCCUGGUUUCCUGACGUCACGGUCCCACACCAUUGUCAACCUAUGUAGUAGUCAAUAAACAAGAGAAUUGCACAAGAAGCGGCCGACAGCUGGGACCAAGCAGCUCGAGCAGUAUUUGUGUUUUUGAGGUGUGAGCACUGCAGAGUUUUUCGAUGUUUAGCCCAGAUAUUAAUUUUUCUCCUCUGAACAACAACGAAAACAUCGCUGCAUGUAUUAACUGGGCAGGCUGUGGCCCGUCUAGCCCAGGCCAGAUAUCCAGCCCAGAUAUUAAUUUUUUUCAAGCUGAAAAUGGCUAGCCCAGCUAUACUUUUUUUAGGAAUACCCAGGCAAGGUCAAGUUGUUAUUCUCCGCCCCGCUGGGCUGCAAAUCUUUCCUAGGAGGGAUGCAUUAGGCUUAACAAGAAAAUGGGCUUUAAGAAAUAAUAAAUGGGAUGUAAUUAUAAAAACUGGGCAGUAACUAUAAAAAAAUGCACCAAACACGUGAUUACUUUAUAAAAUAUUAUUUUUGGAUAUUGAAAAUUUUAAUUUCAUUAAUUGUUGCGAGCGCAAUGUUUUGUUGGAUUUUUACGUAAUAUAAAUUUAUAUUGAAAUUGUAUUUAAUCUGACUAGAAAUUCCGGGAUAAAAAUAUUUCAGAUCCCAUCAAAAUGUGGGAAAUUUUAUUGAAUUCUGUUUUGAACGGUUGGUUGAAAUGGGUUGUACUUUUAACAAACUGUAAAUGGGCUGUAGUAAAUUCCAUUAGAAUUCAAAAAUGGGCUACACAUUCUUACAAAUCUCAAAUGGGCUAUAAGUUCUCUGCCACACACUUCUGGCCUUACUAAGUUGACGCGUCCCCUAAAAAAACAGAGUUGACGCGUAUGCAAGGCUUUGUCAACUUAUAGUCAACACACGGUUCUAGCAGCAGUGGCCGUUGGAUGUCCAUCCAACGGAUGCCAUGCUUCUUCUUCAAUCUCGGAUAUUCUAGCUUCACCCGCCCAAAAAAUGAUUCCUCCCCCUGACAUCUAGGGCGCACCGUUUCGGAAGCUGACCUGUGGGCCUACUAAGUUGACGUACCAAGGGCUUUGUCAACUUAGUCAAUAUAAACGAUUCUAGCUGCAGUGACCGUACGAUGUCCAUCCAACGGCCGCCGUGCUUCUUCAACCUCUGGUCUUCUUGCUCCAGCCGCCCAAAGCAGCGCCGGUCGUGCCGCCUGCUCCUGCCUCCCGUGGCCAGCUGUGCUGCCGCGGAGGCCUCACCGCCCCCUACCACUCCCACCGCUGGUCAGGCCAUCCCUCCACUCACCCACACCCCCUGUUAUUCUGCGGCGAUGGCAGCGCAGCCGAACCAGUGAACCCUCGUACUCCUCUCCGCGUGUGCAUCCACUGUCGCGUCUUCCUCGGCUCCGCGUCGUCCCCUUCCUAGGCCUCGCCGUCAUCCACCGCCCUGGUGCUCUCGGCGCGGCGUGGUCAACGUGGUCAAGGAACGACUUCCAUCGGACGUGGACUAUAUGUGUAGAGGCUGACAACUGGGUCCACGGCAGUCGCAAGGAAGUGCCUCCUUAUUACGCGCAAAAUAAUUAUUCCUCCACCUGACAGCGGGGACCCACCGGACGGGCCACCGUAUUUUGCGAAAAAAAAUGAUUAGCCCCCUGACUGCUGGGACCCACGAGCUACAUCUUCGCACGCAAGGAAGUGCGUCCGGGAAAAAAACGAUUCGCCCCCCUGACUGCUGGGACCCACCAGCUACAUCUUCGCACGCAAGGAAGUGCGUCCGGAAAAAACGAUUCGCCCCNNNNNNNNNNNNNNNNNNNNNNNNNNNNNNNNNNNNNNNNNNNNNNNNNNNNNNNNNNNNNNNNNNNNNNNNNNNNNNNNNNNNNNNNNNNGAUUCGCCCCCCGACUGCUAGGACCCACCAGCUACACCUUCGCACGCAAGGAAGUGCGUCCGGGCAAAAAAAAGAUUCGCCCCCUGACUGCUGGGACCCAGCAGCUACACCUUCGCAUGCAAGGAAGUGCGUCCGGGCAAAAAAAACAAAACGAUCCGCACCCCUGACUGCUGGGACCCACCAGCUACAUCUUCGCAGGCAAGGAAGUGCCUGACAGUCAGGACCCACCUGGUCGAAGCGUACGUAGCGUUGUCAUUCUGGUCGCGAACGUGUACGUACAUACUGGUCGAUGUAGAGGCGCGUACGUGUCAUAGUAGAGGCGCGCACAUGUCAUAGUAGAGGCGCGCACGUAGCAUGUACACGUACGUACAGCGGCCAGGGUGCAAGAAAGAAAAUACGGCCACGUAUGUGUACAUACGGGCAGGGUCUCGAACGCCUACUCGCACAUACGUACGGCCAGGGCUCGUGCACAUGGCUGGGUCGGAACGGAGAAAUAACGUUGUCGUCGUGUUCAUGGGGAGGCAAUGGAAUGUGUCAUGUUCAUGGGGAGGCAAUGGAAUGUGUCAUGUUCAUGGGGAGGCAACGGAAUGCGUCGUGUUCAUGGGGAGGCAACGGAAUGCGUCGUGUUCAUCGGGAGGCAACGGAAUGCGUCGUGUUCAUCGGGAGGCAACGGAACGCGUGGGAGCCAACCGGCUGGGUCGGAACGGAAUGCGUGGUCGUGUUCAUCGGGAGGGCUUGGACGGAACAGGCGAUGGAAACGAGGCCUGGCGUACCGCAGAACGGAGGAAACGGACCUCCUACAUUCGGAACGGGGUCCUGUUGAUCGGAAGGGGUCUGGUGUACCGCAAAACGGAGGAAACGGACCUCCUACGGUCGAAACAGGGGUCCUGUUGAUCGGGAGGGGUGUGGCGUACCGCAAAACGGACGAAACGGACCUCCUACGGUCGAAACGGGGGUCCUGUUGAUCGGGAGGGGUGUGGCGUACCGCAAAACGGACGAAACGGACCUCCUACGGUCGAAACGGGGGUCCUGUUCAUCGGGAGGGGUGUGACGUACCGCAAAACGGGACACCACGGGAUACUGUUCAUCUCCANNNNNNNNNNNNNNNNNNNNNNNNNNNNNNNNNNNNNNNNNNNNNNNNNNNNNNNNNNNNNNNNNNNNNNNNNNNNNNNNNNNNNNNNNNNNNNNNNNNNNNNNNNNNNNNNNNNNNNNNNNNNNNNNNNNNNNNNNNNNNNNNNNNNNNNNNNNNNNNNNNNNNNNNNNNNNNNNNNNNNNNNNNNNNNNNNNNNNNNNNNNNNNNNNNNNNNNNCCUGGCGUACCGCAGAACGGAGGAAACGGACCUCCUACAUUCGGAACGGGGUCCUGUUGAUCGGAAGGGGUCUGGUGUACCGCAAAACGGAGGAAACGGACCUCCUACGGUCGAAACGGGGGUCCUGUUGAUCGGGAGGGGUGUGGCGUACCGCAAAACGGACGAAACGGACCUCCUACGGUCGAAACGGGGGUCCUGUUCAUCGGGAGGGGUGUGACGUACCGCAAAACGGGACACCACGGGAUACUGUUCAUCUCCACCGUCGACCUCCUCUAGCCUCCAUGGGCUACCGUCGACCUCCUCCAGCCUCCACGGGCUACCGUCGACCUCCUCUAGCCUCCACGGGCUCCUGUUCAUCCAGCCUCCACCGCGCGCUACUCCACCGGCUACUGUUCAACCACCCCUCCACGGGCACCCCUCCAUCGUCUAAUGUUCAUCCAGCCCUCCACACCACGGGGUCCUGUUCAACCACCCCUCCACGGGCACCCCUCCACCGUCUACUGUUCAUCCAGCCCUCCACCACACCACGGGGUCCUGUUCAUCCAGAGGCAAUGCCACCGCUCACUGUUCAUCCAACCCCCCCUGCAACGCUCACUGUUCAUCCAAUCGAUCGGCUUCAGUUAGCAGCAGUAGCGAAGGAAUCGCUCGAUCGGGUUCAGUUAACAGCCAUCGAUCGAUCGCUCGGGUUCAGUAACACGUAGCCUGCAGUGCAAUCGCUCGGGUUCAGUUAGAGCCCAACGCCUCGCUCGGGUUCAGUUAGAGCCAACGCCUCGCACACACGCGUGUACGUAUACAAGAGAAACGCGCAUCGCUCGGCCCCCGACCUCCCACCGUAAUCGGGAACUCCCCGAAAUUUUCCUCCCCCUCGCUUCUACCACGGUUUUUCCCGUCAUGGACGGCCCAAAGAAUGUCAUGCAGCUGCGUCUCCGGCCCGCCCAGGACGAAAAGCCCAUUUUCUGUCAUGAUUUUUUGUCAUAGAAGUAGGAGCCCACCACAUCUAUGAUGAUACCGGGUUUUGUCACAAUUAUCGUCAUAGAAGUGUCAUAUGUAUGACAGGAAAUUUUUUCGUUCGGCCCAAAAUGUCACGGAUGUGUCUUUUUUUUGUAGUGCAAGUGGAGCAAAGUGGUACUUGUGAUGUAGGUGAUGAAAUUCCUCCCCAAGCCAUAAGAAGAAUGGGUGUUGGCUUUAUCCUACCCAUUGAGGAACCCCUUGUGUCUGAAGGAGGAGGACAAUGUUCCACUCAAGUGGAACCAUCACCAACUCAAGACCCAUACGCUUCCGAAGAACAAAGUGAAGGCCCUCAACCUCAUGAACAAGAUCAAGGGCAAGAUCAACCUCAAGAUGGUGGUGAACCACCAAGUGAUGCCCAAGAUCAAGUUCUCUCCUCCGAGCUAGUUCAAGAUCAAGAACAAGCUCAAGACGACGCUCAAGAUGAUCAAGUUUCCACUCCUCAACUCACUCCUAAGGAGGAAUUGGAGCGUCGUGCCGCUAAGAUUGCAUCCAAGCUCUCCACCAAAGAUCAUCUCAUGACAAAUGUGCUUGGAAGCUUAAGGAAGGGGGUAAGCACUCAUAGACAAUUAGCAAACUAUUAUGAACAUCACGCGUUUGUCUCUUGUGUUGAACCCCAAAAGGUCUAUGAGGUGCUCGAGGAUCCGGAUUGGCUUAAUGCCAUGCAUGAAGAACUCAACAACUUCAAGCACAACAAGGUGUGGAGAUUGGUGCCAAGGCCAACGGGGAACCAUAAUGUCACUGGAACCAAGUGGAUAUUCAAGAACAAGCAAGAUGCUCGUGGAAUUUUAGUUCGCAACAAGGCUCGUUUGGUAGCACAAGGCUACUCCCAAGUCGAGGGUAUCGACUACGGUGAAACCUUUGCUCCCGUUGCUCGCCUUGAAUCCAUUCGUUUGUUGAUUGCUUAUGCUUCUCAUCAUAACUUUAAGUUGCAACAAAUGGAUGUGAAGAGUGCUUUUCUUAAUGGUCCUAUUAAUGAGUUGGUGUAUGUCAAGCAACCCCCCGGGUUCGAGGAUCCCUAUUUUCCCGAUCAUGUGUACCAACUCGAUAAGGCACUCUAUGGCCUUAAACAAGCCCCACGUGUGUGGUAUGACCACCUUACCAAGUUUUUGCAAGAUCGUGGUUUUGAAAUUGGGAAAAUCGACCCCACUCUUUUUACUAAGAAGGUCAAAGGGGAGUUGUUUGUGUGCCAACUAUAUGUUGAUGAUAUUAUCUUUGGUUCCCCUAACAAAGCUUUCAAUGAGGAAUUUGCCGCUCUCAUGACCUCCAAGUUCAAGAUGUCCAUGAUGCGAGAGUUGAAAUUCUUUCUCGGGUUCGAAGUCAAGCAAAGAAGAGAAGGAACCUUCAUCAACCAAGACAAAUACACUCAAGACAUGCUCAAGAGAUUCAAGCUAAGUGAUGUCAAGCCGGCUUCCACUCCAAUGCCCGUCAAAUGCCAACUUGACAUAGAUCCCAAUGGUAAAGCGGUGGAUCAAAAGGUAUAUCGCUCCAUGAUUGGCUCCUUGCUCUACCUUUGUGCAUCUAGACCGGAUAUCAUGUUGAGUGUGGGAAUUUGUGCAUGGUUUCAAGCCGCACCUAAGGAAAGCCACUUUGUGGCGGUCAAGCGAAUCUUUUGAUAUUUGGCUCAUACCCCAAACUUUGGCUUAUGGUAUCCAAGAGGAUCUAACUUCAACCUUAUGGGCUAUUCGGACUCCAAUUGGGCGGGAGACAAAGUGGAUAGGAAGUCCACUUCCGGAGGGUGCCAAUUCCUUGGUUGUUCUUUGGUGAGUUGGUCUUCCAAGAAGCAAAGUUGUGUGUCUCUCUCGUCCACCGAAGCGGAGUAUGUGGCCGCCGGUAGUUGUUGUGCACAACUUCUAUGGAUGAGGCAAACUUUAAAGGAUUACAGUGUCAUUUGUGACAAAGUGCCUCUUUGGUGUGACAAUGAAAGUGCCAUCAAGAUUUCUCUCAACCCGGUUCAACACUUCAAGACGAAGCAUAUUGAGAUUCGGUAUCACUUCAUCCGGGAUCACAUUAUGCGAGGGGAGAUCGAGCUCAACUAUGUCAACACUCAUGAUAACCUUGCAGAUAUUUUCACAAAGCCCUUGGAUGAAGCAAGAUUUUGCGAGUUAAGGCAUGAGCUAAAUAUCAUUGAUUCAAGCAAUGUUGCUUGAACCCUUGCACACCCCACCAUACUCAACUUGUUAUCUUGUUUAGGUGUAGGCAUGGACAUAGGGGGAGUGUUGUUCUCUCAAUGAACUCUCCCUCCCCCCAUUAUGCAUAAAUUGAUCAACUCUUUCACAUUAGCCAUUGUUGAUGCUACUUGUGCUUCAAAGACGAGUUUUGGUCAUGGGCCCUAAUACGUCUCCAUCGUAUCUACUUUUCCAAACACUUUUGCCCUUGUUUUGGACUCUAACUUGCAUGAUUUGAAUGGAACUAACCCGGACCGACGCUGUUUUCAGCAGAAUUGCCAUGGUGUUAUUUUUGUGCAGAAAUAUAAGUUCUCAGAAUGACCUGAAACUUCACGGAGAAUAUUUUUGGAAUAUAUAAAAAUACUGGCGAAAGAAUCAAGACCAGGGGGCCCACACCCUGUCCACGAGGGUCGGGGCGCGCCUACCCCCCUGGGCACGACUCCCUACCUCGUGGGCCCCCUGAGGCUCCACCGACCUCAACUCCAACUCCAUAUAUUCGCUUUCGGGGAGAAAAAAAUCAGAGAGAAGGAUUCAUCGCGUUUUACGAUAUGGAGCCGCCGCCAAGCCCUAAUCUCUCUCGGGAGGGCUGAUCUGGAGUCUGGUCGGGACUCCAGAGAGGGGAGUCUGUCGCUGUCAUCAUCAUCAACCUUCCUCCAUCACCAAUUUCAUGAUGAUCACCGCCAUGCGUGAGUAAUUCCAUCGUAGGCUUGCUGUAUGGUGAUGGGUUGGAUGAGAUUUAUCAUGUAAUCGAGUUAGUUUUGUUAGGGUUUGAUCCCUAGUAUCCAUUAUGUUCUGAGAUUGAUGUUGUUGUGACUUUGCUAUGCUUAAUGCUUGUCACUAGGGCCCGAGUGCCAUGAUUUCAGAUCUGAACUUAUUAUGUUUUCCUGGAUAUAUGUGAGUUCUUGAUCCUAUCUUGCAAGUCAAUAGUCACCUACUAUGUGUUAUGAUCCGGCAACCCCGAAGUGACAAUAAUCGGGACCACUCCCGGUGAUGACCGUAGUUUGAGGAGUUCAUGUAUUCACUAAGUGUUAAUGCUUUCGUCCGGUACUCUAUUAAAAGGAGGCCUUAAUAUCCCUUAGUUUCCACUAGGACCCCGCUGCCACGGGAGGGUAGGACAAAAGAUGUCAUGCAAGUUCUUUUCCAUAAGCACGUAUGACUAUAUUCGGAAUACAUGCCUACAUUACAUUGAUGAACUGGAGCUAGUUCUGUGUCACCCUAUGUUAUAACUGUUGCAUGAAGAAUCGCAUCCGGCAUAAUUAUCCAUCACUGAUCCAAUGCCUACGAGCUUUUCACAUAGUGAUCUUUGCUUAGUUACUUUUCUGUUGCUACUGUUACAAUUACUACAAAACUGCUACUGUUACUUUUGCCACCGUUACUGUUACUUCCAUACUACUUUGCUACUAAAUACUUUGCUGCAGAUAUUAAGUUAUCCAGGUGUGGUUGAAUUGACAACUCAGCUGCUAAUACUUGAGAAUAUUCUUUGGCUCCCCUUGUGUCGAAUCAAUAAAUUUGGGUUGAAUACUCUACCCUCGAAAACUGUUGCGAUCCCCCAUACUUGUGGGUUAUUAAGACUAUUUUCUGGCGCCGUUACCGGGGAGCAUAGCUCUAUUCUUUGAGUCAUUUGGGAUUUAUAUCUGCUAAUCACUAUGAGGAACUUGAAAGACGAAAAACCAAGAUUUAUCCCUCAACUACGAGGGGAGAUAAAAAUCUUCCAUCUAGCUCUGCACUUGAUUCACCUUCUGUUGUGAGUAAACUUGCGACACCAACUCCUGCUAUUGAUUCUGAUAUGUCGCAUGUUAUUGAUGAUGCCACUUCUGCUAUGCAUGAUGCUUAUGAUGAAACACUUCUAUGCUUGAUGAUACUGUGCGACUAGGUGAAUUUCUUAAUGAACAACUUGCUAGGGCUAGAGAGGAUGAAAUUAUUGAAACUGAUAAUAUUGAUGAAAGUGAUGAUGAAGAUUCUCCCCCUAGAUAUGAAUUGCCUGUUGUGCCUGAGGGUUAUGUUAUGGAUGAAGAAACUGCUAGAGAUUUUCUUGCUUGCAAUGAUAGAUAUGAUCUUAAGAAAUUAUUAGCUAAGAUGAAAGAAAUAUCUUUGAAUGCUAGAAUGAAAUAUGACCCUGCUUUUGCUACUUCACCUAUCUGUAUUACUGAUAAGGAUUACGAUUUCUCUGUCGAUCCCGAGAUAAUUACUUUGGUUGAAUCUACUUUUUAUGGCUAUGAAUCUAAAACUGUUGUGGCACAUCUUACUAAAUUAAAUGAUAUAGCCACCCUAUUCACUCAUGAGGAAAAAAUUCGUUACUAUUAUAUCCUUAAGUUAUUUUUGUUCUCAUUAAAGGGUGAUGCUAAAACAUGGUUUAAUUCUCUUGAUCUUGGUUGUGUGCGUAGUCCCCAGGACAUGAUUUAUUACUUCUCUGCUAAGUAUUUCCCCGCUCAUAAGAAACAAGCUGCUUUAAGGGAAAUAUAUAAUUUUGUGCAAAUUGAAGAAGAGAGUCUCCCACAAGCUUGGGGGAGGCUUCUCCAAUUACUUAAUGCUUUGCCUGAUCAUCCUCUCAAGAAAAAUUAAAUACUUGAUAUCUUUUAUAAUGGACUAACCGAUGCUUCCAGAGACCACCUGGAUAGUUGUGCUGUUUGUGUUUUCAGGGAAAGAACUGUUGAUCAAGCUGAAUUGCUAUUGAAUAAUAUGUUGAGUAAUGGAAAUAAUUGGACACUUCCUGAACCAACUCCUAAGCCAACUCCGAAGAAAAGGGGUAUUCUAUUUCUCAGUCCUGAAGAUAUGCAAGAGGAAAAGAAAUCUAUGAAAGAAAAGGGUAUUAAAGCUGAAGAUGUUAAGAAUUUACCACCUAUUGAAGAAAUACAUGGUCUUGAUAACCCGACACAGGUAGUAAAGGUAAAUUCUCUCUAUAGAUUUGAUGAAGGUGAUAUUCCUUGUUAUAAGUCUGCUAGCCAAUGCUUAGAUGAGUUUGAUAAUUUUAUUGUUAAACAAGAAACUUCAAUGCUUAUGUUGGUAGACAAUUGAAACAUAAUGCUUAUAUGAUUGAACACUUGAGUGAUUAUAUGUCUAGAGUUAAGGGUGAACUUAAACUUAUUAGUAAACAUGCUUCUAUGGUCACCACUCAAGUAGAACAAGUGCUUAAAGCUCAAAAUGAUUUGCUCAAUGAAUUAAAUAAUAAGAAAAAUGAUAAUGUUGUUAGAGUUAUGACUAGAGGGGGUAAAAUGACUAAGGAACCUCUGUAUCUGAGGGCCACCCUAAGAGAAUCGAGCAAGAUUCUCAGAGAACUAAUGUAGAUGCACCUAGUCCUUCUAAGAGGAAGAAAAAGAAAAAUGAUAGGACUUUGCAUGCUUCUAGUGAACCUGUUGUUGACACACCUGAGAAUCCCAAUGAUAUUUCUAUUUCUGAUGCUGAAACACAUUCUGGUUAUGAACAUGAACCUAGUGAUAACGUUAAUGAUGAUGUUAAUGUUGAUGCUCAACCUAGCAAUAACAAUGAUGUAGAAAUUGAACCUGUUGUUGAUCUUGAUAACCCACAAUCAAAGAAUCAGCGUUAUGAUAAGAGAGACUUCAUUGCUAGGAAGCACGGUAAAGAAAGAGAACCAUGGGUUCAGAAACCCAUGCCUUUUCCUCCUAAACCAUCCAAGAAAAAGGAUGAUGAGGAUUUUGAGCGCUUUGCUGAAAUGAUUAGACCUAUCUUCUUGCGUAUGCAUUUGACUGAUAUGCUUAAAAUGAAUCCUUAUGCUAAGUAUAUGAAAGAUAUUGUUACAAAUAAAAAGAAAGAUACCGGAAGCUGAAAUUUCCACCAUGCUUGCUAAUUAUACUUUUAAGGGUGGAAUACCAAAGAAACUUGGAGAUCCAUGAGUACCAACUAUACCAUGCUCCAUUAAAAGAAACUAUGUUAGAACUGCUCUAUGUGAUCUUGGAGCCGGUGUUAGUGUUAUGCCUCUCUCGUUAUAUCGUAGACUUGAUUUGAAUAAGUUGACACCUACUGAAAUAUCUUUGCAAAUGGCCAAUAAAUCAACUGCUAUACAUGUCGGUAUUUGUGAGGAUGUGCCUGUUGUGGUUGCAAACGUUACUAUUUUAACGGACUUUGUUAUUCUUGAUAUUCCCGAGGACGAUAGUAUGUCUAUUAUCCUUGGUAGACCCUUUUUGAAUACUGCAGGGGGUGUUAUUGAUUGCAACAAAGGCAAUGUCACUUUUCAUGUUAAUGGUAAUGAGCAUACGGUACACUUUCCGAGGAAACAACCUCAAGUCCACAGUAUCAAUUCUAUUGGAAAAAUUCCAACGAUUACUAUUGGAGGUUUUGAAUUUCCUCUUCCUACUGUCAAGAAGAAAUGUGAUAUUCUUAUUAUUGGGGAUGUGCAUAUCCCCGUUGAGGUAACCUAGUGUUAUUCGAAAUUUUUCCGGUUUCAUGCAAUUCGGAAUGAGUUUGUUAACAAGACUUGAUCAACCUUGUUAGUGGAUUCCUUUUGAUGAGCAUGAGAUGGAUGAAGUUAGAAAGCACAACUCUCUGUACCCUCGUUUUACUUUCAGUUAUUUAGAUUAAAUAAAGCAAAAAUAGUAUUUUCUGUUUGUUUUCUGAAUUAUCCUUGCAAUAAAAAAUACCUUGAAAAUAAAAGUUCUCCAAAUGGCGUGAAAUCAAAAUAUGAUUUUUUUAGAAUAUAUAAGAAUAUUUGGCACUGAGAACACACCAGAGGGGCCAACCACCUGGCCACGAGGGUGCAGGGCGUGCCCACCCCCUGGGCGCGCCCCCUACCUCGUGGACCCCACGUGCCCCCCCACUUAUUCCAGCACCCACACACUUCGUCUUCCUCCAGAAAAAAUCACCACACAGCUCAAACUCGUGUUCUAGCUCGUUUUGCUGCAAUUUUCGAUCUCCUUGCUCAAAGCUCCACUCACAAAACUGCUUUGGGGAUUGUUCUUCGGUAUGUGACUCCUCCAAUGGUCCAAUUAGUUUUUGUUCUAGUGCUUUAUUCAUUGCAAAUUUUUGCUGCUUAGGUGACCCUGUUCUUGAGCUUGCAUGUCAAAUUUAUUUGGUCCCAAGUAGUUCUAAUGCAUGAUAUAGUCUCUAGGCACUUGUGGGAGUAGUUGCUAUCAAUUUUGUUGAGUUUGGUUCACUUUUAUUUUGAGUUACUAAAAAAUUUAGAAAUUUUUCAGAGGAAGAAAUAUGUUUAGGAAAAUGUACCAAGGUGGUUCUUCAGGAAGCAAGGACCCAGGCCCGCAAUACGUGAGUCGGACUAUGAACUACCAAGAGAAGCUCAAGUGCGGCCUUGUGAAUGGCCGUCAGAAAAUUUCAUGGUCCAAGCAGGAAUUAAGGAUGAAUUUGACACGUAUGUGCGUAAUGCUGAACUUGAGGGCUUCAUGUCAGAUAAGUGCCCCCAACAUUAAUACCUAACUUACUCCUUUGUGAGAAGGUUUAAAUUUACAUCAUCACGUAAUUCUCACAUGGUCCUGUUUGAUCUUUAUGAUAAAUCUUAUACCAUGGAUUUAGAGGAUUUUAAUACUGCUUGUAAGCUCCCGCAGUGGGGUAGUGCUAGUGAACCUCGCAAAUCUGAAUAUAAAGACUUUCUUGCUAGUAUAACUAUGGGAGAAUCUAGGGAAAUCACACAAGUUACCAUAGGGAGCAUUCAUUUUCCUACCAUACAUUAUUUUACUCUCUUUAUAGGUAGAUGCAUUAACGGUAAGGACGAGGCAUGUCACAUGUGCGUUCCCGAUCUUAGUGUUCUCAAGAAUGUUGUAUUAGGAGAUAAACAAUAUAACUUGGGAGCUAUUGUUGCACGAAGGUUGCAUCAUAACAGUAUUAGCGGAGAUUUGUUUGGUGGAAUUUAUGCAACCCGUUUAGCUAAUUUCUUGAGGUACCCAUUCGUGAACAUGAUAUGGAGUUGCCUCUUGCUUAUCUAGAUUUUAAUGCUAUGGUUCGUCAUCAGUUUGUUGAGAGGGAUGAACAGUCUCUCCAGUACCGACUAAUCUUUGAUAGACGUCGCGCUGUCCAUAUUACUCUCCCCGCUCCUACUUUCUUUGACUUUCAGGCAAAAAGGAGAUAUGUUAUAACCAGGGAGGAGGCGAACGAGUACGAGAGGAGGACGGAGGCAGCUCACCUCCAAGCUGCAGCUCGUGAGGCAGUAGCGGCUGCAUCUCAGUACGACCCCAGUUACAACUUCGGAUAUCCGCCAGGCCAACUUAGGCCAAAAGCCUAAGCUUGGGGGAGUACGUAUUUCUCACCAACAUUACAUUCAUGUUCACACACUCAUGCCAGUUGUCGGUGAUCAUACUCUUUCAUUGUACUAUCCAUGCUAGUUUAUUUUCUUUUCUAAGCCUUCUUCUUGUAUGCUUUAAAUAACCUUAAGAAAAAAAUAGUUGUAGUUUCUAGCUAGUUUACUUUUCAUGCCUGUAGUAGUAAUAAUUAAAAGAAAACCCAAAAAGAUUUCUCGUUCUUCUUUUGUUUGUUGGGAGCUUUCCCGUGUAAAUAGUUUUAUUUCCUUUCUUUUCUUUGGGGGUCGAGAGGAGAAGACCAUGAUGAAAACGUUGAAGUGGCUCUUAUAUGCAUUAUUGUUGAUUUAACCAAGAGCCUAUAUUACCUUGUCUCCUCCCUUGAAUUAAAUGCUUGCAGAUUCCAGCUUAGUCCAAUGCACGUGCACUAUUAUUAUUAUCCACACCGUUCGGUCGUGCGAGUGAAAGGCAAUAAUGACGAUAUAUGAUGGACUGAUUGAGAUGAGAGAAGCUGGUAUGAACUUGACCUCUCUUGUCUUUGUAAAUAUGGUUAGUUCAUCAUUCCUGAUUCAGCCUAUUAUGAAUGAAACAUGUUGCAAUGACAAUUAGAGAUUAUAGUUGCUCAUGCCAUGCUUAAUUAGCUAGGAGUUUAUAAUGGUUUACCUUGCGUGCCAACAUGCUAUUAAAAUGGUUGUGAUGUGGUAUGAUAGGAUGGUAUCCUCCUUUGAAUGAUUCGAGUGGCUUGACUUGUCACAUGUUCACACAUGUAGUUGAAACAAAAUCAACAUAGCCUCCACUAUAUUUAUGUUCAUGGUGAAUUAUAUCCUACUCAUGCUUGCACUCAGUGUUGAUUAAUUUUAAUGCAUGUUCAUGACUGUUGUCGCUCUCUAGUUGGUCGCUUCCCAGUCUCUUUCUAGCCUUCACUUGUACUAAGCGGGAAUACUGCUUGUGCAUCCACUUCCUAAACCCAAAGUUAUUCCAUCUGAGUCCACCAUACCUUCCUAUAUGCAGUAUCUACCUGCCGUUCCAAGUAAAUUUGUAUGUGCCAAACUCUAAACCUUCAAAUGAAAUUCUGUUUUGUAUGCUCGAAUAGCUCAUGUAUCAACUAGGGAUGUAUGUAUCUUCCAUGCUAGGCGGGUUAUUUUCAAGAGGAGUGGACUCCGCUCCUCACUCAUGAGAAAAUGGCUAGUCACCGGGAUGCCUAGUCCCAUGCUCAAACCAAAUCAAAAUAAUUGCGAACAAAACUCCCCGGGGAUUGUUGUUAGUUGGAGGCACCCGUUGUUUCGGGCGAGCCAUGGAUUGAUGCUUGUUGGUGGUGGGGGAGUAUAAACUUUACCAUUCUGCUUGGGAACCACCUAUAAUGUGUGUAGCAUGGAAGAUAUCGAGAUCUCUCGGUUGUUAUGUUGACAAUGAAAGUAUGCCACUCAAAAUAUUAUUUAUCUCUGUUUCAAAAAUCGAGCUCUGGCACCUCUACAAAUCCCUUCUUCCCUCUGCGAAGGGCUUAUCUAUUUACUUUUAUGUUGAGUCAUCACCCUCUUAUUACAAAGCACUAGCUGGAGUGCACCGCUGUCAUUUGCAUGCAUUACUAUUAGUUUACAUUGAGUAUGACUAUGACUGGAUCUCUUUUACCAUGAAUUACAAUGUUUAGUCCGUCCUUGAUCUUCAGAGGUGCUCUGCAUUUAUGUUUUGCGGUCUCAGAAAGGGCUAGCGAGAUACCAUCUUGUUAUAUCAUAUUAUGAUUGUUUCGAGAAAGUGUUGUCAUCCGAGAUUUAUUAUUAUUGCUCGCUAAUUGAUUAUGUCAUUGAUAUGAGUAAACAUGAGACCUAAAUGUUAUUGUGAACAUGGUUAGUUCAUAAUCUUUGCUGAAAACUUGAAUGUUGGCUUUACAUAUUUGCAACAACAAGAGCAGACAGUUUGAAAAAGUUUUUCUUUAUCACUUUCAGUUUAUCAACUAAAUUGCUUGAGGACAAGCAAAGGUUUAAGCUUGGGGGAGUUGAUACGUCUCCAUCGUAUCUACUUUUCCAAACACUUUUGCCCUUGUUUUGGACUCUAACUUGCAUGAUUUGAAUGGAACUAACCCGGACUAACACUGUUUUUAGCAGAAUUGCCAUGGUGUUAUUUUUGUGCAGAAAUAAAAGUUCUCGGAAUGACCUGAAACUUCACGAAGAAUAUUUUUGGAAUAUAUAAAAGAUACUGGUGAAAGAAUCAAGACCAGGGGGGCCACAACCUGUCCACGAGGGUGGGGGCGCGCCCCCCUGCCUCGUGGGCCCCCUGAGGCUCCACCGACCUCAACUCCUACUCCAUAUAUUCGCAUUCAGGGAGAAAAAAAUCAAAGAGAAGGAUUCAUCGCGUUUUACGAUACGGAGCCGCCGCCAAGCCCUAAUCUCUCUCGGGAGGGCUGAUCUAGAGUCCGUUCGGGGCUUCGGAGAGGGGAAUCCGUCGCCGUCGUCAUCAUCAACCUUCCUCCAUCACCAAUUUCAUGAUGCUCACCAUCAUGCGUGAGUAAUUGCAUCGUAGGUUUGCUGGACGGUGAUGGGUUGGAUCAGAUUUAUCAUGUAAUCGAGUUAGUUUUGUUAGGGUUUGAUCCCUAGUAUCCAUUAUGUUCUGAGAUUGAUGUUGCUAUGUGUCGGUGUACAAAAGAAGGGGUGCACCUUUGUACCCCUUUACCUGUGCACGGGCAGUCGGAGUCGCGCUCACGGCCACACCAAGCAGAGCAAGGGAGGUGAACCAAGGCAAAACCGAAGCCCAAGACAGCCAGAGCAACGCCAAGACCAAGAACGCGAAGGACAGAGAGACGAAGCAGGUUCCCUCAGUGACCCCGGCAAGCCCCUUUGCCGGCGCGGCUCGUCAAACACCAACAGGGCGAGCCACCCUUCAGCCCACAUCCCCAACACCAUCAGCCACGUGGGGCCAGGGGUCGGGAGGCACCUCUAUGGUGGCAUGCAGAUCUUUGUGAAGACAUAUUCAAGAUCAGAUGAGGACUAGAAGACAAUGAUCCUCGGCAAGAUCCUUGCCGAGGAGACCCACGAGACCCCCGGCAAGAUUCUUGCCGGGGACGACAGCGCGCCACGGCAAGACCCUUGCCGGGCCCCCCGGCAAGGCUCUCGCCAAAGAUGCCAGCAUGGCCACUGCCAGGCCCGCACCAGCCAAGUCUCCACCGCCGUUCGCAUGCAGCUACCAGCCCAAACAAGCCGGGCAGGCACCUGCGUGGCAACAUGCAGCUUCCAUGCCAACUCAGCAGGCGCCUGCGUGGCGGUAUGCAGAUCUUCGUGAAGACCCUACCACCGCGCCACCUCAGCUGCCUGCCUGCCUACAUGGAACACACGCAUCGCUGGCUAGGGCGCGUAUCAAAGCGAGGAGGAGCGGCGACGGACGGGACGGGCCUCGCCCCCGUCCCCGAUAAAGCUAGGGGACACCUCAGCGGUGCAUUAAAUGCGACUUGUACUGUAAUACGAGCGAUAAGCUUGCAAUACUGUACGCCUUUCCACCUCCUGUAUGCCACUGUGGCAGCCCCUUUCGCCUAUAAAAGGAGGCCCAUGGCAUACUGGAGGAGGAUUCGGCUCUUUCAAACCACGCACUCACCAUAGCUAGUUCGAGAGCUCAAGAACUCUCUGAAAUACACCCACCAAAGCAGGACUAGGGUUUUACGCAUCCUCGCGGCCCGAACCUGGGUAAACGAUCCUUGUGCUGAUUACUAAUCCUUCUCUUCUCGCAACCCUGCGCCCCGGCAACCGUAGUAGGGAUCCUUGUGAUCCCAUAGGUGUCGUUCCACACCGACAUCUUUGGCGCGCCAGGUAGGGGGCGCAAUUGUGAGAAUCUGGUCUAGUAGCUAGCCUAGCGUUUCUUCAUCUCCAUGGCUCCCAAGAAGAAGACGGCCACGGCGAUCGGCUCGUCGGGGGCCGAACGGCCCGUACCGCUACGGGCGAGCAGCGACCCGGUCGCGGACAGGACCCGGGCCGCGGUCCGCGAGCACCAGCAUCACCGUGGUAGUCAGAGCCUGGCGAGCGGCGUCGUUCGCACGCCCGACGACCGGCCGCACGUUGCCAUAUCCAAAGACGGAGCUGGGCCCCCCGCAGGCGGCGCGGGGCCCUCCAGGGGUGUCGUUGUGCCACCUCCGGGCAGCGCAGCGACCUCCAAGACACCCACGCCGGCGACCACUGUGCGCUCUUCCCAUGGUGUGCGCGACGAACAGCGUCACCACGCCGGCGACCCUGGGCACCGCCGUGGGAAGAGCCCUGUGCGUCAUCCGCGAGAUGAAGGAGUUCUGCAUGCCCGCCGAAGUGCUGGCGAAAAUGGCGCGCAACCGCUGGGCCGUGGUCGAGCUCCUUCUAACAUGGUUAGAAGUUGAAGCACGCCACGGUCCAUGCAGCUAUCGCCGCCACCCACGCCAGCGGAAGCUUUGGCGCGCACGCAGCUGCUCCUCAACUUCCCUCCUGCUGCAGAGAAACUCGACGAGUGGAGGGCCACCAUCCGGAGCCUCGUCGCCAUCGCCAACAAAGACGAUCCGCGACCGGCGGGGCCCUCGGGUCGGCGCUCCACCGAACCACCACAUGCUGGCGCUGGGAGGACCGGGGAGCUGCAGCCACGGUGCACUCUCCUCCUCCUCGCCAGCCGCCGCGGGUGUCUGCCCGUCAUGACGACGCUUGUGAUAACAUCUCUAUAGCGUCGUCCGACCCGCGGACCCACCGCGACCAGCGCCAAGUUCUUCGAGAACAAGCUCACGAAGAUGCUCGGACCACUAGGAAUCAACAAGUGUUUCCACGACUCUACCGCCCGGCCAAUCCGCCCGGGCAAUAAAACAAUAUGAGCAAAACAAUAUCAUAGCAAACGGUAUGUGCUGGUUGGAUAGAGCACUCUGAUCUGAGCCCUCAUCCCUGGAUGUCAGUAGCUGUUUCUUCUUCUCGCUAGUUAGAUUAGUAGAUGCUAAUUUCACUGAAAGAUCUGAUUUCUUCGAAUUUCCUUUCCUUUAGGGUGAAAAAACUUCUCCCGUUGCUGCAUUCUCCACUUUCUUAUCUCGAAAAUGCGUAAUAUAGUGAUUUCAUGUGUCUGUUUCUCUGAAAAGGUGGGUGUCAUGUUCAAAGCAGGUUUCUCUAGACACCUUGGAAAAGAUCACUGACGAGCUAUGGAUAUAUCGAUUUCUAUUUUCAGAAAGCUCCUAUUUCGAUUGAUAUCUCUAGCAAAUAUAUGCGUAGCGUAUGUCAAGAUAAAGUAAAUCAAUCCGUAUGACGGCAGGGAGCGGAGGCAGCUUCAACUCAAGUGAGGAGCAAGCUUCCUGACCCGGUACAGCCGCUAAGCUCAUUUUUCAUUUCCAAGUGUUGUUACUAGCCUCGAGAGAGAUGUUUCACAGGAUUCACCUGCAACUGAUAAACCUGGGGGAUAAUACCGAAACUCAGAUUUUGACUAUGAUUAGGCGGGGACAGGAUUCGAACCUGCAGUCUUCAGGUCAUGAGCCUGAUGAGUUGACCAAUUCCUCUACCCCGCUUCUUCCCCUGAUCUUUCUUUCCCUCUUCCCAGCUCAAAAGCAAGCGGUCUGUUAAUGAUACUUAAUGAAAAAGAGAUCAGCUCGGAGAGAGGCUCGGUGAAAUAGACAUGUCUGUGAAGAUGCGGACUACCUGCACCAGCGCCGGCGUGAUACGCGCCACCAGUCGGACAAGCGGGCAGGACCCGCUAUGGACCAGCCAGCAUCGGGGGGCUCUGGCGGCCUACCUUACGAGGUGGGCUGCCCGGCCUUUACCCGUGAGCUGCGGCAGUUCCAGUGGCCAUCCCACCGCACGUUGAAGCCCGACGUCGGCGAGAAGUACACUGGCAAGACCCAUCCGUCAGAGUUCCUCAGCAUCUACACCAUCGCGAUGCAGGCGGCCAGAGCUCGCGACGACAAGGUGCUUGCCAAUUAUUUCUCGCUGGCGCUGAAGCCCAAUGUUAUGUCUUAGUUGAUGCACUUGCCGGCGGAUUCCAUUUCUUCUUGGUCGGAUCUGUGCCAUGAGUUCGUUGGCGCCUUCACAGGAGGCCACCAAGCUCAUGGCCAGGCCAGUGAUCUGCAUAUCGUUCCCAAGAAGGAAGGGGAAACCCUGCGCAAGUACAUCCAGAGGUUCAGCCGGGUGCAGUACAACAUCCCUGACGUUCAUCCCGUCGCUGUGAUCAGCGCGUUCCACCAGAACAUGCGCAAUCGCAAGAUGCGCAAAGAGCUGGCGAUGACCAAGGUUAAGGAUGUGGCCGAGCUCUACGUUCUGGCCGAUAAAUGCGCCCGGGCUGAAGAGGGAAGGAAGUACCCCGGCGAAGACGCCGGUGCGGAAACCAACUCUACCGACAAAGACGCUGCCAACCUGACGAAGAAGGGCCGGCGUUGCAACAGGAAACGCAAGGGCAAGGUCGUACUUUCCGUCGAGGGGUAUGACGACACCGGCGCUGCCAAGAAGGUCAAGGCAGACGGCCCCGACAAGGAGAUUGCCGGGUGCGCCGCCUGCCGGGCCUUAGCAGCUGCCGACAAGCCAGGGGGCUCCGGCAAGCAGUACUGCACGAUCCACCGCACCAAGGGCCACGACCUCCAGAACUGCCGACAAGUCGAGCUGCUUGCUGAAAAGCAAAAGGCCGAGUAUGAAAGGCGGGACAAGGAGAAAGGUCAGGACGGUGCUGAGGGAUCCGGCAAGAAGCAUGGCGGCCAAGGAAGCCGCCCCGGCAAGGACAACCAGCAAGAGAGGCCCGCCCGGGGCCGUGACAAGAAACAAGAAGACGAUGAUCACGACGAGGACGACGAGUCCGGUGAGCAAGAGUUCCAGAAGGCUACGGAGACCAUGUGCGUCGAUGGUGGCGCCUCGCUGCAUACUUCUCACCGCCAGCUCAAGCAGUGGGCGCGUGAGAUUACAACAGCGGAGCCGUCGUUUGACGCUCAGAAGCCGCUGAAGUGGUCCAGCACGCCCCUCAUCUUUGACGCUGAGGACCAACCUGACCGCACGACCGCGGUCGGGUGUUUGCCAUUAUUGGUCUCACCAACGAUACGCAACCUCAAGGUGAACAAGAUGUUGGUUGACGGCGGGGCCGUCCUGAACUUGAUCUCGCCCGUCGUGAUCAAAAGGCUGCAAAUUCCUGAUGAAGACCUUGAGGAAACGGGCACGUUUCAAGGGGUCAAUCCAGGGAGGAGCCAGCCGAAGGGGAAGGUCACACUGCCCGUGACGUUUGGAGGAGAGUUGAACUACAGGACGGAUAGGAUCAUCUUCGACGUGGCCGAGAUCCCCUUGCCCUACAACGGGAUCCUCGGCCGCCCGGCACUAGCCAAGUUCAUGGUGGCAUCACACUACGCCUACAACAUGCUAAAGAUGCCCGGGCCGUUGACCAUCAUCUCCGUCCGACAAGAAGGACGCGCUGAUUUGCGCCGACCAACUCUACCGGGAAGCAAUUGCAGCAGCUGCCGUCAAGGCACCUGCUCCUGCCGCUGAAGUCCCGGGAGGGAAGAAGAAGCCCAACAAGACCUUUCGCACCCACUCCGGCAAGCGCACCUCCUCGGAGUGUUGUGCUACCAUCGAGGACGUGCCAGAGAGUUCUACCGGCAAGAGCAAGAAAUCCAUAGCUGAGUCGCCGCAGACCAAGAAGGUGUCUGUCAGGGAGGAUGGCACGGGAGGGGCCUUCACCAUAGGCUCCACCCUCGACAGCAAAUAGGAAGGCACACUCAUCACCUUCCUGCGGGCGAAUGUCGACGUGUUUGCGUGGCAAGCAUCCGACAUCCCUGGUGUUCCCAGGGAGGUGAUUGAGCACCACCUAGCUGUCUGUCCUCAUGCGCGGCCCGUCAAGCAGAAGGUUGGAAAGCAGGCUCUGGAGAGGUAGGAGUUCAUCACAGAGGAGAUCAGGAAGUUGGAAGCGGCAGGUUUGGUGAGAGGAGUGCUCCACCCGACGUGGUUGGCCAAUCCGGUAGUGGUGCGCAAGGCAAAUGGGAAGUGGAGGCUGUGUAUUGACUACACAGAUAUCAAUAAGGCUUGUCCUAAGGACCCCUUCCCAUUUCCGCGCAUCGACCAGAUUGUCGACUCCAAGGCCGGGUGUGAUCUGUUGUCAUUCCUCGACGCCUACUCGGGCUACCAGCAAAUCUUCAUGACAAGAGAAGAUGAAGAGAAGACAGCAUUCAUCACCCCAUGUGGUACGUAUUGCUUUUUACGGAUGCCUUUCGGGUUGAAGAGUGCUGGCUCGACGUUUGCAAGAGCAGUCCAAAUUGGUCUUGAACCCCAGCUCCAUAGAAAUAUGGAAGCAUACAUGGAUGACAUAGUGGUCAAAACCAAAGACGGGGCAACUCUUGUGCAAGAUCUGGAAGAGACAUUUGCCAACCUGGCAAGAUCAACCUCAAGCUGAACCCUGAGAAGUGUGUCUUCGGUGUUCCGUCCGGCAAGCUUCUCGGGUUCUUUGUGUUGCAGCACGGGAUCGAGGCAAACCCAGACAAAAUCAAGGCUAUUGAGCAGAUUGAGGCGCCCAAGCAGAUCAAGGACGUGCGUCGGCUCACCGGCUGCGUCGCCACCAUGAGCCGAUUCAUCUCCAAGUCCGCCGAGUAUGCCCUUCCUUUCUUCAAAAUCUUGAAAAAGACAGGCCCAAUGGAGUGGACCCCAGAAGCCGAGGCAGCAUUGCAGGAUCUGAAGAAAUACCUUUCCUCCACGCCAAUACUGGUUGCGCCUAAACCACAAGAGCCGUUGCUACUAUAUAUGGCGGCGACGAAUCAAGUGGUCAGCGCCGCAUUGGUGGCACAGAGGGAGGUCGACGAGGAGGCAGUGACGGCGGCAGAACCAGCGGAUGGCAAGCCAAAGAUUCCCCCGGCAGGGCCUGGUGCCGGCAAGGCGAGGCCCCCGGCAGAGUCUGAUGCCCCCAAGGCAGUGCCUGCGCAGUCGAGUGAGGUGGUGCAGAAGAAGAAGAUGAUGCAGCACCCGGUUUACUUUGUCAGCUCCCUCGUGCAGGGAGCUAGGUCGAGGUACUCCGGUGUGCAGAAAUUGCUCUUCGGCCUCCUUAUGGCCUCGAGGAAGCUGCGUCAUUACUUCCAAGCCCACGAGAUCACUGUCGUCACCCGCCUCCCAUUGCAACGGAUACUGCAUAACCCAGAUGCAACCGGAAGGAUUGUGGAAUGGGCCUUGGAGUUAUCAAGUUUUGGUUUGAAGUUUGAAAGUACCUCGACAAUCCAGAGCAGAGUCUUGGCGGAGUUCAUUGCAGAAUGGACCUCAACGCUUGACGAAGAAAUCCAGGAGACCAAUCAUGUACUUUGAUGGGGCUUUCUCGCUGCAAGGCGCCGGUGCCGGUGUGCUGCUCAUCGCACCCACCGGAGAGCACCUCAAGUACGUGAUCCAGAUGCACUUCCCCAGGGAGAUGUCCACCAACAACACUGCGGAGUACGAGGGAUUGCUCGCCGGUCUCAGGAUUGCGGCAGACCUCGGGGUUAAGAAGCUCAUCGUCAGGGGUGACUCGCAGCUUGUUGUUAGGCAGGUCCACAAGGACUACCAGAGCCCAUUGAUGGAGGCCUACGUAGAUGAGGUGAGAAAGCUGGAGGAGCGCUUUGACGGCAUCCAAGCGGAGCACGUCCCCCGAGCGGAGAACGACAUCGCCGAUUACCUGUCAAAGCAUGCUGCAUUCAAGCUACCUGUGGAACCGGGUACCUUUUUGCUCCGUUUAACUCAACCAUCCGUCGAACCAUCAACAGAGCAGAACAAGCGAAGGAAAUCAGGUCCCGGCAAGUACCUUCUCGCCGAGCCCCUUGGGACGGCCGGCAAGGAUGUUGCCGUGCACACUGAGCCUGCCCAAGAGCAACUGGCUCCGGCAGGGCGUCAAGCCCUGGCCGUAGAGACAGCCGCUCCCAUGGCGGAAGAGAUGCCUUUGGUGCUUGCCGUCGAGCCCCAGGCUCCGGCAUGGGCGCAGCAUACCGUCCAAUUCCUCCAAACAGGGGAGCUUCCUGAGGAGCAGGAAGAAACGGAGAAAGUAGCCCGUCGGUCUGCCCUGUACCAGUUCGUCGAUGACGUCAUGUACAGGAGGAGGCCGAACGGUGUGAAAUUGAAGUGCAUCCCCCGGGAGGAAGGACUGGAGCUGUUGGCGGAGAUACAUGGAGGCAUAUGUGGCUCCCACAUAGGGUCAAGGGCCCUUGCCGCAAGGCGUUCCGGCAAGGUUUCUUCUGGCCCACCGCCCUCCAGGAUGCGACGGCACUAGUAACCAAGUGUGAAGCGUGUCAGUUCCAUUCAAAGAAGCUUCAUCACCAGCUCAAGCCCUUCAAACAAUCCCUCUCUCCUGGCCAUUCUCGGUCUGGGGGCUCGAUAUACUGGGCCCUUUCCCCCACGCUGUCGGGGGCUUUGAGUACUUGUACGUUGCAAUCGACAAGUUCACAAAGUGGCCGGAAGUGGAAGCAGUGAGAAAGGUGACUGCUCAGUCAGCCGUCAAGUUCUUCAAGGGACUGGUCUGCCGUUUUGGUGUGCCAAACAGAGUCAUCACCGACAACGGCACGCAGUUCACAAGCCACACCUUCAUGAAAUACAUUCAAGACCUCGGUAGCAAGGUCUGUUUUGCUUCCGUGGCACACCCACGGAGCAACGGCCAAGCGGAGAGGGCAAAUGCUGAUGUGUUGCGAGGCCUGAGAACAAAGACCUUUGACAAGCUGCACAAGAGUGCAAGGUGCUGGAUUGAUGAGUUGCCGGCGGUUCUUUGGUCGAUCAGGACGACGCCAAAUCGAGCCACCGGUCAGACACCCUUUGCCCUAGUAUAUGGGGCGGAGGCAGUUCUCCCCACGGAACUCAUAUACGGGUCACCUCGAGUGCUCGCUUAUGAUGAGCUUGAGCAAGAGCAGUUGCGGCAAGAUGACGCAAUGCUCCUUGAGGAAGAUCGUCUUCGGGCGGCUGUGAGAGUAGCACGCUACCAGCAAGCCUUGCGCCGCUACCAUAGCCGCAAGGUUCAUGCCCGAAGCUUUGAGGAAGGCGACCUUGUUCUUCGGCGCGUUCAGUCGGCCAAGAAUUCCAACAAGUUGACGCCAAAGUGGGAAGGCCCUUAUCGGGUAAUACGAGUCACCAGGCCCGGCGCAGUCCGCCUGGAGACCGAAGAUGUUGUCCCAGUGAGCAACUCCUGGAACAUCGAGCAUCUUCGCAAGUUUUACCCAUAAGGCGAGGCUUGCCGGGCCUCCCGGCAAGCCACCUUUUGUACAAGCUUUGCCGGCAAGGCAUGUUAACCCUUUGUACAAAGCCAAACGCAGACCCUGAGCAUAAAUAAAUGAAUCGCUGGCGCCCUAAGUUAUAGCAUGCAUGCUAGGUCGAGUCUCUUCCUUGGUUAGGGUUGAUAGUGCUCAGAGAAAGGGCAAAAGGGGCGCCUAGGCGAGCUACGAGCAGCAGAAAGCACCAAGAGAACACCUCGGUGGCUGCCCACGAGUAGGCCGGUGAUGACGGUGCCGGGAAAGGAGCUGGAAGACGAGGCGGCAGGACCGGCAAUACGCGAUGAAGGUGUCGGUGCCCGCGUACUCUGAGUUGACGGCCUUGCUGCCCGCCUUCUUCCUCUUCCGCAGCCUCCCGACGCCGGCCGCCCAAGGAGACGGCCUCGAGAAGUUCAAGGAGCUGGCCCCACCCCCGGCAAAACUCUGGCGGAGGAGCGGCCAGGUGCAGAUGCUGCUGCUGCCGCACCCGCCCAGGCGCGGGGCGUCCGACGCCUAGUCGGACUCGUCCCCGUCAUCUGCCCCGCUGUCCUCCUCAUCACUUUCGCUCGAGGAAGAUCUUCCAUCGUCGGAAUCUCCGUCGGAGGAGCUCUCCACGCAGCACUUCAGGCGAGUCCCGAAGUCUCUAAAGACCUUGACAGAGAGCAGGCCGUCCUCCAUUAAUUUGAAGUAGAGGACAAGCCCCGCCGUCAGGCUGUGGAUGCGAGCGAACGUCUUCCACCCACGAUGGAGGUACAUGACCCGAGGAGCCCGGAAGUCGACGUCGACCCGAGUGCCCCCAUUCCCACAGCCCCUCAUGUGCAAUCUGAGGGAUUGGGGCGGGUCACGCUCCAUCUCCCGAGAAAACGGGGCGGGAAGACGAAGACGGCGACACGGAGGCCGGCGCAGCCUGAUGAAGAAUUCGCGGGGCUGGUCUCCGACAUGGCCUUCCAUCGAAAAAGGCAUCAUUGGCGGGGGCGAAGCCGGCGCGUUGCCCCGUCCUCCUCUUCCCCGAGCACUACGACCUCUGCCCCAGCCUCGCCCACGGCCUCGCCCCCUCUCCCUUCCCCUCGCGGUCGGCUCCACCACCGCGGGCUCAGGAGGGGGAGGGACGCGCUGUCGAGCGGCGACCCUCGCCGCCACCGAUGAGGGACCACGAUUCCCUUUCUCCAUGGCGAGUGAAAGGAAGAAGCGGAAGCAGGAGGGGAUAGAUGACAGAAGAGUGCGGGAUGCCAUCCCCCUUCCCCCUCCUUAUAAAGGGGUGGGGUCGGGGCUCGGCCGCCCCGCUCGGCCAAUCUAGCCACCAGAGGCGCAGGGAAUCGAGACCGACCCGCUGCCCCAACCAGCAACGGCCCGGUUUCCCGCCUCCACCGCUUGCCACCCCAAGCGCAUGGAGGAUGCGUGGCGAACUUGCAGAAUCGAGGGGACGGGUGAAGCGACCUCUCCCCACCCCGUGAUCGUGGGGUGUGGACGCCUUGAAGACCGCAACCCGGCCCCGUGCAGUAAAUAAGCCGUGCCUCCACGCCUCCCUCCUUUCAUGGGGAAGGCGCGAGCUGCCCAUUUACUGCGAUAUGACGCAUGCGUGCAGGAACCGCCCCACGCAUGCCGCCCACGUCACGCGUUCCCCUCCACGUCGCACCUUCAACACAGGUCAUGGGAAGCGCGGCGCACGAAAAGUUUCAACGUGGUAAAAACCGCCCCGCCUGCCCGCGCACCGUUUUGGGCCUGGCCCAACAACGUGUCGCGCUUAUGUGUGGCCCAGGCCCGGGGGCUCCUGUCGGUGUACAAAAGAAGGGGCGCACCUUUGUACCCCUUUACCUGUGCACGGGCAGUCGGAGCCGCGCCCACAGCCACACCAAGUAGAGCAGGGGAGGUGAACCAAGGCAAAACCGAAGCCCAAGACAGCCAGAGCAAUGCCAAGACCAAGAACGCGAAGGACAGAGAGAUGAAGCAGGUUCCCCCGGCAAGACCCUUGCCGGGGCAGCCUCAGCGACCCCGGCAAGCCCCUUUGCCGGGGCGGCUCGUCAAACACCAACAGGGCGAGCCACCCUUGAGCCCACAUCCCCAACACCAUCAGCCACGUGGGGCCAGGGCUCGGGAGGCACCUCUGUGGUGGCAUGCAGAUCUUUGUGAAGACAUAUUCAAGAUCAGAUGAGGAUUAGAAGACAAUGAUCCUCGGCAAGAUCCUUGCCGAGGAGAGCCACGAGACCCCCGGAAAGAUUCUUGUCGGGGACGAUAGCGCGCCACGGCAAGACCCUUGCCGGGCCCCCCGCAAGGCUCUCGCUGAAGACGCCAGCAUGGCCACUGCCAGGCCCGCACCAGCCAAGUCUCCACCGCCGUUCGCAUGCAGCUGCCAGUCCAAACCAGCCGGGCAGGCACCUGCGUGGCAACAUGCAGCUUCCAGGCCAACUCAGCAGGCGCCUGCAUGGCGGCAUGCAGAUCUUCGUGAAGACCCUACCACCGCGCCACCUCAGCUGCCUGCCUGCCUACAUGGCGCCGCACGCAUCGCUGGCCAGGGCGCGUGUCGAAGCGAGGAGGAGCGGCGACGGACGGGACGGGCCUCGCCCCCGUCCCCGAUAAAGCUAGGGGACACCUCAGCGGCGCAUUAAAUGCGACUUGUCCUGUAAUACGAGCGAUAAGCUCACAAUACUGUACGCCUUUCCACUUCCUGUAUGCCACUGUGGCAGCCCCUUUUGCCUAUAAAAGGAGGCCCAUGGCAUACUGGAGGAGGAUUCGGCUCUUUCGAACCACGCACUCACCAUAGCUAGUUCGAGAGCUCAAGAACUCUCUAAAAUACACCCACCAAAGCAGGACUAGGGUUUUACGCAUCCUCGCGGCCCAAACCUGGGUAAACGAUCCUUGUGCUAAUUACUAAUCUUGCUCUUCUCGCAACCCUGCGCCCCGGCAACCGUAGUAGGGAUCCUUGUGAUCCCAUAGGUGUUGUUCCACACCGACACUAUGACUUUGCUAUGCUUAAUGCUUGUCACUAGGGCCCGAGUGCCAUGAUUUCAGAUCUGAACCUAUUAUGUUUUCAUGAAUAUAUGUGAACUUUUGAUCCUAUCUUGCAAGUCAAUAGUCACCUACUAUGUGUUAUGAUCCGGCAACCCCGAAGUGACAAUAAUCGGGACCACUCCCGGUGAUGACCGUAGUUUGAGGAGUUCAUGUAUUCACUAAGUGUUAAUGCUUUCGUCCGGUACUCUAUUAAAAGGAGGCCUUAAUAUCCCUUAGUUUCCACUAGGACCCCGCUGCCACGGGAGGGUAGGACAAAAGAUGUCAUGCAAGUUCUUUUCCAUAAGCACGUAUGACUAUAUUCGGAAUACAUGCCUACAUUACUUUGAUGAACUGGAGCUAGUUCUGUGUCACCCUAUGUUAUAACUGUUGCAUGAAGAAUCGCAUCUGACAUAAUUAUCCAUCACUGAUCCAAUGCCUACGAGCUUUUCACAUAUUGAUCUUUGCUUAGUUACUUUUCCGUUGCCACUGUUACAAUUACUACAAAACUGCUACUGUUACUUUUGCCAUCGUUACCGUUACUUCCAUACUACUUUGCUGCAGAGAUUAAGUUAUCCAGGUGUGGUUGAAUUGACAACUCAACUGCUAAUACUUGAGAAUAUUCUUUGGCUCCCCUUGUGUCGAAUCAAUAAAUUUGGGUUGAAUACUCUACCCUCAAAAACUGUUGCGAUCCCCUAUACUUGUGGGUUAUCGGGCCCAACGAUAAUUCUUCACGGUGCCAUACCUAUUGACUCAAACAUAGGUGGCUCCGGCCACCGCCCUCUCGUUGGAGAGGUUGUGACGCGUGUUUGGUCCUUGUUGUCUCUUGCCUUUCUUUCUUCGUGCCGAGCUUGUGCUUGCGUUACCUCAUGUGUUAGCUCUUUGGUGUGUCCGUUCGCUUGAAGGUUGCUUUGCAAAGGCUGUUUUCCUCUUUUAUUUGCGCAACAUGCAUUUUCUUGGGUCUACGGUACUACCGUGGCUUGCCACGGUACUACCGUAGGAGCUGCGCACGGUACUACCGCACCCAGCACGGCAGUAAUUGUUUACUGCCGCUGGAAGAGCGGUACUACCGCCCACGGUGCGGUACUUCUGCCCAAGUGGUACUACCGCCAUGACUCGCUGUACUACCGCGCAGUCGUGAGCGCGUGGGGGUUAAGAGCGGGCAGGGGGAGUUCUAACUCCCCCAUACCCAUUCAACUCCUUUUCCCCACGUCGUCUCUCUCUCUCUCCUGCCCAAGAACGGCGCCGGAGGACCUCGCCGGAUCUCCGUCUCCGUCCGCUCUCCUCGCAUUCCGACCGGUGGGAUCGUUCCCCACCUCGACCUCUUGCCAUGGAACAAGGUUUCUCCCCAAAUCCCUCUCUCUUUGUUUCAUUGUUUUGCGUCUAGGUUUUGGGGAGAAACAUUGUGUUCUUGAGAUUUUAGGCCAAAUCUUUGCAAGAGUAGGAUGUAGGAGAGUUGUAGUGCUGUAGAGAUGCUAUUUGGUAUGUUGCUACUCGGUAGUUUUGAUCAACCGUAGUACCGCUCCGUUGUCACGGAUGUUCCAAGAUCUGAUUCAUUUCGAAUCUAAUCCGAGCGGUACUACCGAACUCCCGUACGGUACUAUCGCUCUGGCCGCUUUCGCCUCGUACGGUACUACCGCUUCUCCGGAGCGGUACUACCGCGCACGGCGCGGAAGUAAAAUUUUACUUCCGCUCUAGGCGCGGUACUACUGUGCCAUCUCGGCGUGGUACUACCGCAGCUAGAGCGGUACUAAAAUUUUAGUUCCGCUUCAUGGAGCCGUACUACCGUUGAUCUCAAACCUUCCUUGUGGCCACUACCCAAUGUUACCUCUUCUUGUUUCGUUUGUUUUUGCUGUGGUCUUUGCAUUGAUCCUUCUUGCCUCUCUUGCGUAUUCUUGUGUUGUGUGUCAUAGGUGGUGGCUCCGGUUCCAAUGUCCGCCAUUCGAAUCCAAGCCGUGACACGGGCUCCAAGCGCCUGUGCAACCAAGAUGAAGCUCCAGAGGGCUCCAAUGCCCCCCAACGCGGAACCAAGACCACCGCCACCAAGAACAAGGAGCCCUCAAUGGGCAUGGAUGAGAUACCACUUGCUGAGUUUGUCGCUCGAAGGAGGAUCAACCCCUAUGUGAAUCCCCGUGCCAACUUCAGAGGGAAUGAUUUGUUCUGGACCAAGCAGCAGAAUCUUAUCCAUCUGGAUGUGAUCAAGGCCAAGCAGAACAUCUACGUGGACGUGCACUAGAUUGACAUGAUUCACAUGAGGCAGGAUAAGUACCGUGACUAUUUUGGUGAGGCUUUGGACCUGGUGGAGCAGUUUGGCAUUGAGGACGUGAUCUCUUUCCACCUGGACUUUGACCCUGAGAUUGUGGCCCAGUUCUUUGCUUCGGUCCACUUCCAUACUGAUGAGGAAUGUACCAUGACAUGGAUGACCAAUGGACAACGGAUGACUGCUAAGUGGAAGGACUUCAUGGCUUUGCUACAGGUGCCUGAUGAGGGGCUCAACACGCCCGUUGGUGUUCGCCCUCAUGCCAACCCCGAGUCCGCUAGCAAGAACAAGCUUUAGCAGUACUAUGUUGAGAAGAAGCUUCCCAAUGACAAGAAGGCGUGGGUGCUGAACCCAUUCCUUGACAUCAUGCACCGGAUCUUCCGCAACACCCUCUUUCCAUGCAUUGGUGACAAGGACAAGGUGCAUGCCUAUCUCGUGGAUAUGAUGCUCAUUUGUGAGGAGGUGCGUCAUGCUCAGACGCAACCACUUGACGUCUCACACAUCAUGUGGUGUGAGCUACAGUUUGUGGUGUUCAACCGUAAGGUACCCAUCUAUGGACCUUACCUGUUUCUCUUGAUCACGAGGACUUGGGAGCAGCUCUAUCCCAAUGAUGAGUUUGUUGCCCCUGACUGGAUCCAUCACGACCCUGUCAAGCUCCGCAUCAAGCCUCAGUGGGCUAACACCACCACCCGUGCUGAGGCUGAGGCAGCUCAAAUGGAUGUUGAUAAGGAUGAGGCUGAGGAGGAGGAGGCGGAUGAGGACAACUCUGCUGGGUAUGCUCCUCCCUCUACUGAGCCCUCAUGGGCUAAGAAGCUGAAGGCCAAGAUGAAGGCCUUGUUCUGCAUGCAAGCCAAGGGGCAGUACAAGACCCAUGUUGCUUCCAAGGAGAGUCUCCGCCGCGACAAAAGGAUCUUGAGGACAUUUGGCGAGGAGGUAACCAGCGGAUCCGAGACGCACAUCACCCCAGAGGCUGAAUGGAUGGUGAAGCGGGGUUACCAGUGGACUGAAUCUAAGGAGGAGACCAUCCCCACUGCCGAGAGCGAUGAGGAGCGUGACGAGUGAUCGCUUCAGCUUGAGCCACCACUUGUGUCGUAGGUGUCCUCUCUGCCUUUUUGGUGUCUCGAUGCCAAAGGGGGAGAGAGUGUAGGAUUUGCGAGUUGUGUGUUGUGUUUCGUGUGUCGGAUUGUUUCGCUUUGUCGCUUUGCUUUCGUUCAGUUGGACCUCAUUUGCUUUGGUUUGAUUUGUGCUUGUGAGACCAGGUUCUCUUUCAUAUGAUGUAAGACAUAUGCACCCUAGUGUACCUUAUUGUCUUUCAUACUUAGUAGCUCGUGAGCCUAUGCUAUCUUGUGCCCUUUACUUUAUGAUCAUAGUUAUUAUCUUGCCUCCUUGCUUAGUGUUAGCUAUAUUGUUGCAAGAUAUGCCUUGUCUAUAAAAUAUAGGGGGAGUGUUGAUCCUAGUAUGUGUGCCGUGCAGUCCAAAGCAUUUCUCUAGAAAGCACACAUCUAGGGGGAGCCCGUCUAUAUUUUAUAGAUGUGGGGUUUGCCUAUGUUCUAUUUUUUAUCCCUAUGUGCAAAUCCCGUAUUGUCAUCAAUCCACCAAAAAGGGGGAGAUUGUAAGGGCAUAUUUAUCCCUUAGUUGUUUUGGUGAUUGAUGACAAUGCAUUUGCGGACUAAUCGUGUGCAUUGAGCAUUUCAGACAUAUCAUGACUAGGCACAAGACGGUUUGGUGCCCCUCGAAGACUAUUGAAGACGGCGUUUCUCUACGUUUCUUUUCGGUGGAUUUGAGUCGUAGGAAAGCCGUACUAUUAAGAGGGGGUCCGCGUUGGAAAGGUUUGGGUGGAAUGAACAUGUACACGUCUGUUCCUUUUUGCACCACCUUUCCUUUGGCUCUUUGGGGCAUCCUCCGUUUCUCCGUGUCUCUACAAAAUGAAGGACUCCUAGUGUUGCUGAACUGGGGCAUGCGGUAGUACUGCUCUUCGGAGCGGUAGUACCGCAGGCCCUUGCAGUAGUACGAGCCUCAGGCGCGGUAGUACCGCAGGUGCUCAUGGUAGUACCGCUCCUUGGGAGCGGUAGUACCGUGGCCUCAGGCCAGGCUCAGCUGCUCGAGCGGUUGUAGGGGCGGAUGUAAUUUUUUACAUCCGCGCCCUACACGGUAGUACUGCUCCAUGGGCGCGGUAGUACCGUGAGCUCUGGCCAGGCACAGCAGCAUGAGCGGAAGUAGGGGCGGAUGUAAUUUUUUACAUCCGCGCCCUACGCGGUAGUACCACUCCAGGCUUGCGGUAGUACCGUGUCAGAUUUUUGCAUAGAUCAAAACUCAGCGGAAGUAGCCAUGGAUGUAUUUUUAUAUGUCCAUGCCUUCCCAGUCUAGACCAACCCUGCCUUGCAGUAGUACCGCAAGGGGGAGUGGUAGUACCGCGCCAGCGUUUCUACCGCCCUCGGCUUCUUUGCCAUAGGCCUGGGUUAGCUCCUGUCGCGCCAGCGAUAGUAUCACAGGGCCUUGCGGUAGUACCAUGGGCUCGUGCGGUAGUACCGCUUGUUGUGUGCGGUAGUACCGCUCGUCGCGGGCUGAGUAAGUGGAUAAUGGUUGGAUUUGUUCUAUCACUAUAUAAGGGGAGUCUUCUUCUCCGAGUUGACUACCUCUUCCACCCCCAAGCUCCAUUGUUGCUCUAAGCUCCAUUUUCGCCCGAUCUCUCUCCCUAUCCAAUCAAACUUGUUGAUUUUCUAGGGAUUGGUUGAGAAGGCCCCGAUCUACACUUCCACCAAGAGAAAUUUGAUUCCCCCACUAAUCCCUUGCGGAUCUUGUUAAUCUUGGGUGUUUGAGCACCCUAGACGGUUGAGGUCACCGCGGAGCCACAUUCCAUUGUGGUGAAGCUUCGUGGUGUCGUUGGGAGCCUCCAAUUAAGUUGUGAAGAUUGCGCCAACCUAGUUUGUAAAGGUCCGGUCGCCGCCCCCAAGGGCACCAAUAGUGGAAUCAUGGCAUCUCGCAUUGUGUGAGGGUGUGAGGAGAAUACGGUCUAGUGGCUUCUUGGGGAGCAUUGUGCCUCCACACCGCUCCAACGGAGACGUACUUCCCCUCAAAAGGAAGGAACUUCGGUAACACAUCCUCGUCUUCACCGGUUCCACUCUUGGUUAUCUCGUACCUUUACUUGUGCAAGCUUAUUUUGUGUUGUAUCCCUUGCUUGCUUUUGUGCUUGUUGUUGUUGCAUCAUAUAGGUUGCUCACCUAGUUGCAUAUCUAGACAACCUACUUUGAUGCAAAGUUUAAAUUGGUAAACAAAAGCUAAAAAUUGUUAGUUUCCUAUUCACCCCCCCCUCUAGUCAACUAUAUCGAUCCUUUCAAUUACUAACACUCACCGCGUACACAUGAGCAAAACGUUUCAACUGGACACAUAGAAAGAUAGGGGCUUAUAGUUUUGCCUCCCAACAUAUUCACCUCAAGGGUGAUGUCAACAAUAAUAACUCAUGCUAUCUAUAUUCAACUUGACAUAUGUGCCUAGAUCUUUCCUCACCACAUGAUGCUUGCCAAAGGAGAAAAAUGAAUAAAAGGAAAACUUUGACUCUUUGCAUAAAAGUAAAUACAUAAAAGUAAAAGAUAGGCCCUUCGCAGAGGGAAGCAGAGGUUGCCAUGUGCUUAUUUGUUUGUAUGCUCAACCCCUUAGUGCAAAAGAACGGCAUGUUACAUUGCCCCUUGUGAUAGCGACCUUUAUUAUGCAGUCUGUCGCUUUUAUUCUUCACCAUUAGAAGUUCGUGCAACGCUCAAUUUUCUCUUACACUAAAUGAUCUCACACAUUUAGAAGCAAUUUUUAUUUCCUUUUUGCACUGAUGACAACUUACUUGAGGGAUUACUCAAUCCCUAGGUAGGUAUGGUGGACACUUGAAAAUAAGAUUUGGGUUUAAGGGUUUUUGGAUGCACAAGUAGUAUCUCUACUUAGUGCGGAAUUUUUGGCUAGCAAAGAUAGGGGGCAAGCACCACAUGUUAAAGGAUCCAUGACAAUAUGACUUCUAUGAGAAUAUAAACAAACAUAAACCAUUAAGUUGUCUUCCUUGUCCAACGUCAACAAUUUUGGCAUAUAAUAUUUUGAUGAGGGCUCACAAUCACAAAAGAUUUCUAGGAUAGUAUAUUUAUAUGUGAAUCUUCUCUUCCCUUAUCAAUUCUUUCAUGAGUUGCAUCAUUGACUAAUGCUAUGUUUGUCAAUCUCUAAUAAAUUUUUCUACUUAUACUUUUCCUUAUGUGGUGUCAUCACCUACCAUAAGAUUAGUAUAUGAUCUUUUUCAUUAUUUCUUUCCUUUUAUUUAUUUCCUUUCUCUUUUUCUUCCUUAUUUCCUUUCUUUUAUUUGUAACAUGAAAGUAAAGAAAGCAAAAACUCAAACUAAACUUUAUUAUAUAUCUUGCACACGAUUACAAGGAUAGACCACUAAGCAAACUCUCAAAGAAGAAAUGAUCGAACUAAACUUUUAUUCAUCUAAAGCAAAAGAUCGAACUAAAAUAAGUAAAGGCAAAAAUAUAGUCGGAUGAUACGAUACCGGGGCACCUCCCCCAAGCUUGGCGGAAGCCAAGGGGAGUGCCCAUACCUGAUACUUAAUUCUCCUUUGGUGAUGAAGAAGAUGGUGGUGGUGAAGAGAUCUUGUCCUCGGAUUUCCAUGGCAGUGGUCCACCAUCAUAAGAGGAGGAGUGAGUCUCACGGGUCCUUGCACAUCGCGGAUGUGCAGCACCCCCUCAUGCAUCUGGAUGGUUUGAGGGUGCUACACCACCUCCCUCAGAUAUGGGUUGAUGACGUUCUUGAAGAACUUGUCCUUGGAGGAGCUUGUAGCGGCCAUGGUAGAUGGGAUCUGACAGAAAACAGCAAGAAAAGAGAACAGAGGAUUUCUCCGCGAUACGGUGGUUAGCAGGUUCAGGAAGUAUAUACAGUUUUGCCAGGCGCGCCCAAGUAGGUUGUGCUGUUGGGGAACGUAGUAAUUUCAAAAAAAUUCCUACGCUCAUGGUGAUGCAUAGCAACGAGAGGGGAGAGUGUUGUCCACGUACCCUCGUAGACCGAAAGCGGAAGCGUUAGCACAACGCGGUUGAUGUAGUAGUACGUCUUCAUGAUCCGACCGAUCCAAGUACCGAACAUACGACACCUCCGAGUUCAACACAUGUUCAGCUCGAUGACGUCCCGCAAACUCCGAUCCAGCAGAGCUUCACGGGAGAGUUCCGUCAGCACGAUGGCGUGAUGAUGGUGAUGAUGUUGCUACCGACGCAUGGCUUCGCCUAAGCACCGCUACGAUAUGACCGAGAUGGAAUAUGGUGGAGGGGGGCACCGCACACGGCUGGAAUAGAUCAACAGAUCAACUUGUGUGUCUAGAGGUGCCCCCUGCCCCCAUAUAUAAAGGAGCAAGGGGGAGGCGGCCGGCCAGGAGGAGGGCGCGCCAAGGGGGGAGUCCUACUCCCACCGGGAGUAGGACUCCUCCUUUUCCUUGUUGGAGUAGGAGAGGGAAGGGAGGGAGAGAGGAGGAGAAGGAAAAAGGGGGGCGCCGCCCCCUCCUUGUCCAAUUCGGACUAGAGGGGGAGGGGGCGCGCGGCUGCCCUGGCCGCCCCUCCUCUUCUCCCACUAAGGCCCAUGAGGCCCAAUUAACUCCCCGGGGGGUUUAGGUAACCCCCCGGUACUCCGGUUUUUCUCCGAAACCACUCGGAACACUUCCGGUGUCCGAAUAUAGUCAUCCAAUAUAUCGAUCUUUACGUCUCAACCAUUUCGAGACUCCUCGUCAUGUCCGUGAUCAUAUCCGGGACUCCGAACUACCUUCGGUACAUCAAAACACAAAAACUCAUAAUACCGAUCGUCACCAAACUUUAAGCGUGCGGACCCUACGGGUUCGAGAACUAUGUAGACAUGACCGAGACACGUCUCCGGUCAAUAACCAAUAGCGGAACCUGGAUGCUCAUAUUGGCUCCCACAUAUUCUACGAAGAUCUUUAUCGGUCAAACCGCAUAACAACAUACGUUGUUCCCUUUGUCAUCGGUAUGUUACUUGCCCGGGAUUCGGUCGUCGGUAUCUCAAUACCUAGUUCAAUCUCGUUACCGGCAAGUCUCUUUACUCGUUCAAUAAUACAUCAUCUCGCAACUAACUCAUUAGUUACAAUGCUUCCAAGGCUUAUAGUGAUGUGCAUUACCAAGAGGGCCCAAAGAUACCUCUCCGACAAUCGGAGUGACAAAUCCUAUUCUCGAUCUAUGCCCACUCAACUAACACCAUCGGAGACACCUGUAGAGCACCUUUAUAAUCACACAGUUAUGUUGUGACGUUUGGUAGCACACAAAGUGUUCCUCUGGUAUUCGUGAGUUGCAUAAUCUCAUAGUCAUAGGAACAUGUAUAAGUCAUGGAGAAAGCAAUAGCAGAAAACUAAACGAUCAAGUGCUAUGCUAACGGAAUGGGUCAAGUCAAUCACAUCAUUCUCCUAAUGAUGUGAUCCCGUUAAUCAAAUGACAACUCAUGUCUAUGGCUAGGAAACUCAACCAUCUUUGAUCAACGAGCUAGUCAAGUAGAGGCAUACUAGUGACACUAUGUGUGUCUAUGUAUUCACACAUGUAUUAUGUUUCCGGUUAAUACAAUUCUAGCAUGAAUAAUAAGCAUUUAUCAUGAAAUAAGGAAAUAAAUAAUAACUUUAUUAUUGCCUCUAGGGCAUAUUUCCUUCAUGUGCCCACCAGGGUAUGCUUCCUGGAAGUUUCUUAUUUUCCUAUUUUUCUAAAUAUUCCAAAACUGAUAAAAAAUAUUUUUGCGGAUUUUUUUGGAGUUCGUUUACUUACCAUAUCACGUACCUCCUUAUUUUCAUGAUUCUGGAGUAUUCCGGAAGGACUCUUAUGUGUUCUUCCGGUGUCAAAGUUUGGAUAAUAUUACUUUCAACGUUAAUGGGCGUACCUGAGAUAUAAUGUUUUAUUCGUUGCCCAUUGAAAACCUUCAGGUUAGUACCUUCGGCAUUAUUUAUUUUGAUGGCUCCAGACCGAUAAACCUCCUCGAUAACGUAGGGGCCUUCCCAUUUUGAGAGGAGCUUUCCUGCAAAGAAUCUGAAACGACAGUUGUACAAAAGAACAUAUUCUCCGACUUUAAACUCAUGCUUUUGGAUUCUUUUGUCAUGCCAUUUUUUAACUUUUUCUUUGAAUAAUUUUGCAUUUUCAUAAUCUUGGGUUCUCCAUUCAUCUAAAGAACUAAUAUCAAAUAACCUCUUUUCACCAUAAAGUUUGAAACAUUAAUUGAGCUCCUUGAUGGCCCAAUAUGCUUUAUGUUCUAACUCAAGAGGUAAAUGAAAAGCUUUUCCAUAAACCAUUUUAUAAGGAGACAUACCCAUAGGAUUUUUAUAUGCCGUUCUAUAAGUCCAAAGUGCAUCAUCUAAUUUCUUAGACCAAUUCUUCCUGGACCUAUUGACAGUCUUUUGCAAAAUUAAUUUUAUUUCUCUAUUGCUAAGUUCAACUUGACCACUAGACUGAGGAUGAUAAGGUGAUGCAAUUCUAUGGUUAACAUCGUACUUGGCAAGCAUUGUACGGAAAGCACCAUGAAUAAAGUGUGAACCACCAUCAGUCAUUAAAUAUCUAGGGACUCCAAACCUUGGGAAAAUAACUUCCUUAAGCAUUUUAAUAGAGGUGUUGUGAUCAGCACUACUGGUUGGAAUAGCUUCUACCCAUUUAGUAACAUAAUCAACAUCAACCAAAAAAUGUGUAUACCCAUUAGAGGAAGGAAAAGGUCCCAUGUAAUCAAAUCCCCACACAUCAAAUGGUUCAACAGCAAGUGAAUAGUUCAUAGGCAUUUAUUGACGCUUAUCGAUAUUACCUAUUCUUUGACAUUCAUCACAAGAUAAGACGAACUUACGGGCAUCCUUGAAGAGAGUAGGCCAAUAAAAUCCAGAUUGCAAUACCUUGUGAGCAGUUCUAUCUCCAGCAUGAUGCCCUCCAUAAGCUUCGGAGUGGCAUUUCCGUAGGAUUUGUCCCUUUUAUAUCUUUAGGACAUGGCAUUUUCUCAAUUGCAUCAACCUUAGCUUUGUCCACUUCAAUACCUCUUUCAAAAAAUUUAUGACCGAAGACAAUGCCUUCAUUAACCAUAAAGUGGCACUUCUCCCAAUUCAAGACAAGAUUUGUUUGUUCACAUCUCUGCAAAACUCGAUCAAGAUUGCUUAAACAAUCAUCAAAAGACUUCCCAUAAACAGAGAAGUCAUCCAUGAAAACCUCAACAAUCUUUUCACAAAAGUCAGAGAAUAUAGCAAUCAUUCAUCUUUGAAAGGUAGAAGGUGCAUUGCAUAAACCAAAAGGCAUACGUCUAUAAGCAUAGGUUCCAAGGACAAGUAAAAGUGGUCUUUUCUUGAUCAGGUUGAGAAACAGGUAUUUGUGAAAAACCAGAAUAUCCAUCAAGGAAGCAAAAAUGUGUGUGCUUAGAUAAUCUUUCAAGCAUUUGAUCAAUAAAAGGCAGAGGGUAAUGAUCUUUUCUAGUUGCUUUGUUUAAUUUUCUAAAAUCAAUUACCAUUCUACAGCCUGUAACAAUUCUUUGUGGAAUAAGUUCAUUCUUAUCAUUAGGAACAAUAGUUAUACCUCCUUUCUUAGGGACACAAUGAACAGGACUUACCCAUCUACUAUUAGCUAUAGGAUAGAUUAUACCUGCUUCCAGAAGUUUUAAUAUUUCCGUUCUUACCACUUCUUUCAUCUUCGGGUUUAACUAACGUUGCUGGUCAACAACAGGUUUAGCAUUAGGUUCCAUAUUAAUUUUGUGCUGACAUAGAGUGGGACUAAUGCCUUUAAAUCAUCAAGAGUAUAUCCAAUAGCAGCUCAGUGCUUCCUUAGAACUUUCAAUAAUCUUUCUUCUUCAUGUUCUGAAAGGUUAGCACUAAUAAUAACAUGAUAUAUCUUCUUUUCAUCAAGAUAAGCAUAUUUCAAAGUGUCUGACAAUUGUUUUAAUUCAAACACAGGAUCACCUUUAGGUGGAGGAGGACCUCUUAGAGUUUCUAUAGGCAAAUUGUGUUUAAGCAAGGGACGUUGUUCGAAGAAAAUCUUAUCUAUUUCAUUUCUUUCAUGCAUAUGUAAAUCAUUUUCAUGGUCUAGCAAAUAUUUUUCUAGUGGAUCAGUAGGUGGCACGGCAAUAGAAGCAAGACCAAUUAAUUCAUCUUUACUAGGCAAUUCUUUUUCAUGAAGUUUUCUACUAAACUUGGAAAAAAUAAACUCAUGAGACUCAUCACCAAAACUAACACCGACAUUUUGUUUCUCACAAUCUAUUUUAGCAUCAAUGGUGUUCAAGAAAGGUCUACCAAAGAUAAUGGGACAAAAGUCUGGGGAACCAAGAACAAGAAAAUCAGUAGGGUAUUUUAUUUUCUCACACAAGACUUCAACAUAUCUAACAAUCCCAAUUGGUGAUAUGGUGCCUCUAUUGGCAAGUUUAAUAGUAACAUCUAUUUCUUCUAUCUCUGCGGGUGCUAUGUCAUUCAUAAUUUCUUGAUAUAAGUUGUAAGGAAUAGCACUCACACUAGCACCUAUGUCACAUAAACCAUGAUAACAGUGAUCUCCUAUUUUAACUGAGAUGACAGGCAUGCCAACAACAUGUCUAUGUUUAUCCUUUUUAUCAGGUUUGGCAAUUCUAGAGCUUCUUCAUAGAAGUAAAUAACAUGCCCAUCCAUAUCUUCUUCCAAGAGAUCUUUAACCAUAGCAAUACUAGGUUCUACUUUGAUUUGUUGAUCAGGUUUAGGUGUUCUAAUAUAGCUUUUGUUAACCACAGUUGAAACUUUAGCAUGUUCCUUUAUACUAACAGGGAAAGGUGGUUUCUCAAUAUAAGCAGAAGGAACAACUAGAUCGACAUUGUAAAGUAUAGUUUCUUCUUUAACGAGUAUCAUUUUUUUAUUUAAUAGGUGGGUGAUAUUUAAACCAAUUCUCUUUAGGGAGAUCAACAUGAGUAGCAAAUGAUUCACAGAAGGAAGCUACUAUCUCAGAGUCAAGUCCAUAUUUAGUGCUAAACUUUUGAAAAGCAUCGGUAUCCAUAAAAGAUUUAACACAAUCAUACUUAAGCUUAAUACCUGACUCUUUACCUUCGUUGAGUUCCCAAUCUUCAGAGUUGCAUUUAAUUCUUUCCAAAAGAUCCCGCCGAAAUUCAAUAGUCUUCUUCAUAAAAGAACCAGCACAAGAAGUAUCAAGCAUGGUUUGAUCAUUACCAGAAAGCCGAGCAUAAAAGUUCUGGAUAAUAAUUUCUCUUGAGAGCUCAUGAUUGGGGCAUGAAUAUAACAUUGACUUAAGCCUCCCCCAAGCUAGAGCGAUACUUUCUCCUUCACGAGGCCACAAAUUAUAUAUAUAAUUCCGAUCACGAUGAACUAGAUGCAUAGGAUAUUUUUUUUGGUGGAACUCCAAUUUGAGACGAUUCCAAUUCCAAGAUCCAAUAUCAUCGCAUAGCCUAUACCAUGCCAAUGCUUUUCCCUUCAAAGAAAAAGGGAAAAACUUUUUCAUAACUUCAUCCCUGGGUAAACCUGCAAGCUUGAACAAUCCACAAAUUUGUUCUACAUAUAUCAAGUGCAUAUCAGGAUGUUCGGUUCCAUCUCCUGCAUAAGGAUUAGCUAGCAGUUGUUUUAUCAUACCCGAAGGAAUUUCAUAUUCAAUAUUUUCAGUAGGUGUAGUAGGUUGAUGGGUAGCUCAUUGUGGUUCCGGUCGAGGUGAAGAUACCCCGAAAAAACCCCUCAAAUGAUUGUUUUCCAUAGUAACAAGUGACAAUAAAUUUCAGCACACUAUAUAAACGUUUCCUUACCAAAUUCCACUUACUAAAGGCGCUUUACUCCCCGGCAACGGCGCCAGAAAAUAGCCUUGAUGACCCACAAGUAUAGGGGAUCAAUUGUAACUCUUUUCGAUAAGUAAGUGUGUCGAACCCAACGAGGAGCAGAAGGAAAUGACAAGUAGUUUUCAGUAAGGUAAUGUCUGCAAGAGCUAAAAUUGUAAGUAGCGGAGUAGUUUGAUAGCAAGAUAAUUUGUAAUGAGCAAGUAACGAUAGUACUAACAAAAGUGAAGCAAGGUAGCCCAAUCCUUUUGAGGCAAAGGACAGGCCAAAACGGUAUCUUAUGAUAAGCAAAGCGUUCUUGAGGGUACACGAGAUUUUCAUCUAGUCACUUUCACCAUGUUGGUUUGAUUUGUGUUCGCUACUUUGAUAAUUUGAUAUGUCGGUGGACCGGUGCUUAGGUGAUGUUAUUACUUGAACAAACCUCCUACUUAUGAUUAACCCUCCCGCAAGCAUCCGCAACUACGAGAAAAUUAUUAAGAAUAAAUUCUAACCAUAGCAUUAAACUUUUGGAUCCAAUCAGUCCCGUACGGAAUAACGCAGAAAUUGGGGUUUAAGCUUCUGUCACUCUCGCAACCCAUCAUCUAAUUGCUACUCCACAAUGCAUUCCCUUAGGCCCAAAUAUGGUUAAGUGUCAUGUAGUCGACGACACCACUAAGGGAAUCACAACAUACAUACUAUCAAAAUAUCGAACACAUAUCAAGUUCACAUGAUUACUUGCAACAUGAUUUCUCCCGUGACCUCAAGAAGAAAAGUAACUACUCACAAAUAAUAAUCAUGCUCAAGAUCAGACGGGUAUUAAAUAGCAUAUUGGAUCUGAACAUAUAAUCUUCCACCAAAUAAACCAUAUCGUAAUCAACUACAAGAUGUAAUCAACACUACUAGUCACCCACAAGCACCUAUCUAUAGUUCUGGUAACAAGAUUGAACACAAGAGAUGAGUUAGGGUUUGAGAUGAGAUGGUGUUGUUGAAGAUGUUGAUGGAGAUUACCCUCCCCAAGAUGGGAGAGUUGUUGGUGAUGAUGAUGAUGAUGAUUUCCCCCUCCGGGAGGGAAGUUCCCCCGGCGGAAUCGCUCCGCCUCGGGGCAAAAGUGCUCCUGCCCAAGUUCCGCCUCAAGACGGCGGCGCUCUGUCCCGAAAGCCUUCUCCUUAUUUUUUUUCUAGGUCAAAAUGACCUAUAUACCAUAAGAUGGGCACCGGAGGUGGGCCUGGGUGAGCACAACCCACCAGGGCGCGCCUGGGAUCCCUGGCGCGCCCAGGUGGGUUGUGCCCACCUGGUGGGCCCCUCUAGUAGUUAUUUGCUCCAAUAUUCCACAAAUACUCCAUAAAAAAUCCUCGUGAAGUUUUAGUUUGUUUGGAGUUGUGCAGAAUAGGUAGCCUGACGUAGCUUUUCUAGGUCCAGAUUUCCUGCUGUCGGAAUUCUCCCUCUUUGUGUAUACCUUGCAUAUUAUGAGAGAAAAGGCAUUAGAAUUACUCCAAAAGCAUUAUUAUGGAUAAAAACAUCAUAAAUAACAGUAAGAAAACAUGGUGCAAAAUGGACACGUAUCAGGGUACGAAACCUCCUCAAAGUUAUCCUUUCUGAUCAAUCUAUUGAGCUAUCUCUAUAAGUGUCACAAACAUCCCUAGAGUUCGUACUAAAAUAACACCAUAUGAUACACAUCAACCAACUCUAGUGUCACCUAGAUACUCCAAUGUCACCACAAGUAUCUGUGAGUUGAUUAUAUGAUAUGCAUCAAACAACUUCAGGUUCAUAAUAUUCAAUCCAACACAAAGAACUUCAAAGAGUGUCCAAAGAUUUCUACCGGAGAAAGUAUGACGAAAACGUGCAUCAACCCCUAUGCAUAGAUUACCCCAAUGUCACCUCAGGAAUCCGCGAGUUGAGUGCCAAAACAUACAUCAAGUGAAUUAAUAUAAUACCCCAUUGUCACCUUGAUACGUCUCCAUCGUAUCUACUUUUCCAAACUCUUUUGCCCUUGUUUUUGACUCUAACUUGCAUGAUUUGAAAUUAACUAACCCGAACUGAUGUUGUUUUCAGUAGAAUUGCUAGGGUGUUAUUUUUGUACAGAAAUAAAAGUUCUCGGAAUGACCUGAAAAUUCACGGAGAUCAAUUUUGGAAUUAAUAAAAAAUAUUGGCGAAAGAAUCAACAGAAGGGAGCCCACACCCUGGCCACAAGGGUAGGGCGCGCCCUCCGACCUUGUGGGCCCCCUGGACCUCCACCGACCUCAACUCCAACUCCAUAUAUUCAUAUUCGAGUAGAAAAAAUCAGAGAGAAGGAUUCAUCGUGUUUUACGAUACGGAGCCGCCACCAAGCCCUGUUCUUCCUCGGGAGGGCAGAUCUGGAGUCCGUUUUGGGCUCCGGAGAGGGGAAUCUGUCGCCAUCAUCAUCAACCAUCCUCCAUCACCAAUUUCAUGAUGCUCACCUCCGUGCGUGAGUAAUCCCAUCGUAGGCUUGCUGGACCAUGAUGGAUUGGAUGAUAUUUACCAUUUAAUCGAGUUAGUUUUGUUAGGGUUUGAUCCCUAGUAUCCACUAUGUUCUAAGAUUGAUGUUGCUAUGACUUUGCUAUGCUUAAUGCUUGUCACUAGGGCCCGAGUGCCAUGAUUUCAGAUCUGAACCUCUUGAUCCUAUCUUGCAAGUUAUAGUCACCUACUACGUGUUAUGAUCCGGCAACCCCGGAGUGACAAUAGUCGGGACCACUCCCGGUGAUGACCGUAGUUUGAGGAGUUCAUGUAUUCACUAAGUGCUAAUGCUUUGGUCCGGCACUCUAUUAAAAGGAGGCCUUAAUAUCCCUUAGUUUCCAAUAGGACCCCGCUGCCACGGGAGGGUAGGACAAAAGAUGUCAUGCAACUUCUUUUCCAUAAGCACGUAUGACUAUAUACGGAAUACAUGCCUACAUUAUAUUGAUGAAUUGGAGCUAGUUCUGUGUCACCCUAUGUUAUAACUGUUGCAUGAUGAAUGCCAUCCGACAUAAUUAUCCAUCAUUGAUCCAUUGCCUACGAGCUUUUCACAUAUUGAUCUUUGCUUCGUUACUUUUCCGUUGCUACUGUUACAAUUGCUACGAAACUACUACUGUUACUUCUGCCACCGUUACCGUUACUUCCAUACUACUUUGCUACUAAAUACUUUGCUGCAGAUAUUAAGUCUUUCAGGUGUGGUUGAAUUGACAACUCAGCUGCUAAUACUUGAGAAUAUUCUUUGGCUCCCCUUUUGUCGAAUCAAUAAAUUUGGGUUGAAUACUCUACCCUCAAAAACUGUUGCGAUCUCCUAUACUUGUGGGUUAUCAAGACCUUUUUCUGGCGCCGUUGUCGGGGAACAUAGCUCUAUUCUCUGAGUCACUUGGGAUUUAUAUCGGUUGAUCACUAUGAGGAAUCCGAAAGACAACAAAGCCAAGAUCUAUCCCUCAACUACGAGGGGAGGUAAGGAACUUCCAUCUAGCUCUGCACUUGAUUCUCCUUCUGUUUUAAGCAAACUUGCGACACCUACACCUGCUAUUGAUUCUGAUAUGUAGCAUGUUAUUGAUGAUGCCACUUCUUCUAUGCAUGAUGCUUAUGAUGAAACUACUUCUCUGCUUGAUAAUACUGUGCCACUAGGUGAAUUUCUUGAUGAACAACUUGCUAAGGUUAGAGAGAAUGAAAUUACUAGAUAUGAAUUGCCUGUUGUACCCGAGGGUUACGUUAUGGAUGAAGAAACUGCUAGAGACUUCUUUGCGUGCAAUGAUAGAGAGGAUCUUAAGAAAUUGUUAGCAAAGCUGAAAGAAAAAUCCUUGAAUGCUAGAAUGAAAUAUGAUCCCACUUUUGCUACUUCACCUAUCUUUGUUACUGGUAAGGAUUAUGAAUUCUCCGCCGAUCCUGAUUUAAUUACUUUGGUUGAAUAUGAUCCUUUCUGUGGUUAUGAAUCUGAAACUGUUGUGGCACAUCUUACUAAAUUGAAUGAUAUAGCCACCCUAUCUGCUCAUAAGGAAAAAAUCCGCUAUUACUAUGUUCUUAAAUUGUUUCCUUUCUCAUUAAAGGGUGAUGCUAAACUAUGGUUUAAUUCUCUUGCUCCUGGUUGAGUGUGUAGUCCCCAGGAUAUGAUUUACUAUUUCUCUGAAAAUAUUUCCCCGCUCAUAAGAAACAAGCUGCUUUAAGGGAAAUAUUUAAUUUUGUGCAAAUUGAAGAAGAGAGUCUCCCACAAGCUUGGGGGAGGCUUCUCCAAUUACUUAAUGCUUUGCCUGAUCAUCCUCUCAAGAAAAAUGAAACACUUGAUAUCUUUUAUAAUGGACUAACUGAUGCUUCCAGAGACCACCUGGAUAGUUGUGCUGGUUGUGUUUUCAGGGAAAGAACCGUUCAGCAAGCUGAAUUGCUAUUGAAUAAUAUAAUGAGUAAUGAUAAUGACUGGACACUUCCUGAACCAACUCCUAAGCCAACUCCGAAGAAAAGGGGUGUUCUAUUUCUCAGUCCUGAAGAUAUGCAAGAGGCAAAGAAAUCUAUGAAAGAAAAGGGUAUUAAAGCUGAAGAUGUUAAAAUUUACCGCCUAUUGAAGAAAUACAUGCUCUUGAUAACCCGACACCGGUAGUAGAGGUAAACUCUCUUCGUAGAUUUGAUGAAGGUGAUAUCCCUCAUAAUAAGUCUGCUAGUCAAGGCUUGGAUGAGUUUGAUAAUUUUAUUGUUAAACAAGAAAAUUUCAAUGCUUAUGUUAGUAGACAAUUGAAAUGUAAUGCUUAUAUGCUUGACCACUUGAGUGAUUAUAUGAGUAGAACUAUUAAUGAUCUUAAGCUUAUUAGUAAACAUGCUUCCAUGGUUACAACUCAAGUAGAACAAGUACUUAAGGCACAAGAUGAUUUGCUUAACGAGUUGAAUAGUAAAAAUAAUGAUAAUGUUGUUAGGGUUAUGACUAGAGGUAGUAAAAUGACCCAGGAACCUUUGUAUUCUAAGGGUCAUCCUAUGAGAGUUGAGCAGGAUUCUCAGAGAACUAAUACUAAUGCACCUAGUCCUCGUACUAAAAAGAAAAAGAAAAC
This 77689-nucleotide long non-coding RNA is filed under the name Triticum aestivum (bread wheat). Its description in RNAcentral is "long non-coding RNA (TAES_LNC013179)". Lineage: Eukaryota; Viridiplantae; Streptophyta; Magnoliopsida; Poales; Poaceae. The record is from RNAcentral.